Molecule: long non-coding RNA, 75003 nt
Filed under: Hordeum vulgare
Lineage: Eukaryota; Viridiplantae; Streptophyta; Magnoliopsida; Poales; Poaceae
Description: long non-coding RNA (HVUL_LNC013584)
Source: RNAcentral
GCCGGGAGCGCCUGCCCCGGCAUCGGCGGCACGCUGUACCGCGCGCACGGGGCCAGCUGGCUCAGCUGCGCCCCGCAGGUGCCGCGCGGCGGCUGCGCCUUGGCCGCGCCGCCCAGGGUCACCAGCAGCAGGACCAGGAGGGCCGCCUGGCCCGUGGUCGCCGCCAUCGUCGUCGUCGCCGGCGGCUCGGUGCGCGCGCUGCGAGCUUGAGAGACGGAAAUGAGUUCCUGUGUGUGUGGUUGGCGGUGUGGUGGUGGUGCGGGAGCGCGUGGUUUUAUAGGUGGGGCGACGGAGGUGGGAGGCGGCGAGUCUUGCGUUGCUCACCUACGCUACGCAGGCAGCGGGCGGUGCUCGGAUCGGCGCCGGGCGGGAGGAGCGGGCCACGGCAAGCGUGUGAGGCACUGAGGCUGACCCGACCCAACUAAUAAGCCCAGCUCGGAGACCCGCUUCGUCCGUUUGAUCAUCGGGACAAAAAAACUUGGUUCAACGUAGAGACAUGUUUGGACCGGUGUCCUUUCACUAUCCGCGCCGAUCCAAUCUUUGACGAAUACCAGCAAACAUGUCUGUGUGUUACAGCAGGAGAAAAAAAAAUCAUCCCUAAUAGGCACUGGCCGAUACCAGUAAAUCCCUUGAAAUCUCCACACAACAAACAAUAUGAUAAGUGACGUUGCGUUAAACGUAAUGGUGGAUGAUUUUUGAAGUGUAUUCAAGGUGCUUUAAAAAAAAGUUAUGGACAUAAUUAAAUUUUUUGGAAAUUAACAUUAAGCCACUUGUUUACAUAAAGCUCAAAUCAUCAAUUUAGUGUACAACAUCGUAUAUUGGUUGGUUAUAUUGUGCAUGAUGUGAAAUAGGAUGACCGUGUACCUAUUGUAACCUUUAGCAUACAAAGUAGCUAGUAGAAAUCAACAUCCGCUAUGGUGCCAAUACUAUCUUUUACGAGAGUAUUAAACUAUCGUAUCUAUUCAAGUUAAAUGGAAUAAAAAAAAUAUGUAAUAGGCAUUUUCAAAAUACCCAAUAUAGAGAAGGUAUUAAUCAAGGUUGCAACAUAUAUUUUAUUUUAAAAAUGAGUAACAUGUAAGAUAAGAGUAUAUUUGAAAUCUACAUAUUCUUUUGAACAAUUAUCAUAUAUAACAUGUUAGAUUUGGAAUUAGGGUUUGAAAGAUAUGAAUAUCCUAAAAAGCAUUUGAAUUAGAAAAAAUAGCAUUUGAAUUAGAAAAAAUGAAAAAGGGGUAGCUGUUUUGAUGUGUUUAAUUUGGGACCGCACUGUAUAUAAACCGAAGUAAACGCCCCAUGUAGCAAAUUGAACUGUUUUUUUGUUUAUGAACGAUAUGAUGGGUAAUUUGUGUUAACUUUGGGAUAGUUCUAAUGACGAACUUGGCAGAAACAAUAACCUUUUUAUUAGUACGCAUAGAUGGGCUAGAAUGGGUUUCAAACAAACAGAAACGGACACUCCCGUCGUUUGCUGGUGCUCGCUUGUGUCCACCCUGGUCCCAAAGACCAGCGACCGCACCAGCCGGGGCUUUGCCUCCAUAAUGACGUGCACCGGCGCAUGCCACCUCUCUUUUUGAGUCAGUCGUUGUGUUAGGAUCUUGCCGGCGGGCCCGCGGCGCCGAUGAUUGGCCGAUCGUGGCCGCCAGACGCCACGUCGGGGUCCGACCACACAAGGGGGAGGAGCGGGGCACGACGAUUACCUCGCCAUGGAGGAAGGGGCGGGGCACAUAUAAAGGAUGGACGCGUUGAUGCGGAGGGAGAGGGUCAUGAACUUCGAAAACAUUUUUCUGUGCAAAUAAAUAUUGAAAAGGUACACAAUUUAUGAAAUGCAUGAAUAUUUUAUAAAGUGUGAGCACUUUUAGAAAAUUCUGAAUACUUUGAAAACCAAUCAAUUUUGAUAAAACGAUAACACUUUCUGAAACAUAUAUUUUAAAUCUAGAACAACAAAUUUAAAGUGCGAACAUUCUUUGAAAAUUAAAAAAAUGGUAACAAAAUUUGAAACCUGAGCAAACGUGUAAAGAAAUGUUUUUGACAUCUAAAAAAUAUCACAAGUUUAGAGAAAUGUACAUGGCAUUUCAAAAAAAUGUAUGUAUAAUGUAAAUAAUAUCCGUGUAAUUCUAACAAAUGUUUCUUCCAUUCAAAAAGAUGCAACAUUUCAAGAAUGUUCAAGAGUUUCAAAACAUGUGCUUGUAACAUUUUUAGAAAGAAGUGUAUACAAUGUAAAAAAGUUAGCGUGACGUAAAUAAUGUGUCAUACCCUUAGAAAAUUAUACCCGACAUGUGUUUGAAAUUUUAUAAAUGUGUAACAAUGUAAAAAAAUGUUUGUAUAGUUUUACAAGAUGUCUGUAUAGUUUUAUAAAUGUCUAUCGUCGUUAAGAAAUAAAAAAAUAUAUUUGAAAAAUAUUACUGUGUAUUCAUUUCUUUAAACAUGUAUCUAAAAAGAUAUAAAUAAAGUAUCAAAAAAUAUUUGUGCUAAAAAUUUGCAAUGUGUACUGACAAUAAUUAGACAUGUGUAAAAUAUAUAAUUGGUUACCGUACAGAAACAAAACAAAAGCGAAAAAAAAGAAAACACUAUGAAGAAAAUCAAGAAAGAAACAAAAGAAAUCAAAAGUAUAACGAGAAAGUAAAACCAGAUAAUGCCAGUGAAAAAAUAAAGCAUAACGAACAAAAAAUCAAAGAAAAAAAAGAAAACAAGACCAGCACGAGAGACUGUGCCAAUGGGCUGGCGCAGUUCAGCGAAUACCGGCUAAAUUCUAUCAACGUUUAAAAUAGACCGGGAUCAAGGAUUUUGGUUUGCUGAUUCCAGGAAUUAAGAGUUCAGAGUUUGAUUUAGCUUCGGCCUAUAUAUAUGAAAGGUUUGUUUUGGAUUUUUUUCCUUUUUCUUUUUGCUAUACUCGAGCGGUCUGGUGUUGUGGUGCACGUUGGCUUCUCCUGCCCAGGAAUCACCUCGCCAACAAGAUCCAAAAUGUCCUAAUAAAGAAAAUAAAAUAAAAAGAACAUGUUUCUGUCAAAAUAGGUAGCACUGUUGGGUAAAAAGACGCACGCCUUCGUUGCUCUCGUGAGGCAGGCGAUUGGGGUUUUCGUUGCCUCCCGUCGCAUAGCCGUCGAGCUGCCUUGUCUUCUGUGGCCUUAGGAUCAUGUAGACGCGAUCGAUCUCGGUCCUUGCUGGGGGGGGGGAGGUGUUUCAUUUUUAGAGUUUGUUUGAGUUUUGAUAGGGUUUGUGUCUUGCUCAGAAAGAUGAGGCGGUGCGUGUUUCUUGGAGAUGGAAUAAGUUUUUCCUCAUAUAGCCCCAGAUGAAAUAAGUUUUUCCUCAUAUAGCCCCCACCCGUUCUGAUGAUGCUUCUAGCAUCGCCGGAGGGUGUAUGAAGAUUUAUCUCGGACGGAUCUCAGGAGAUUCAGUCGACGUUUGACUUUGAUGGAUCCGAUCGGAUCCAUUUUUCGUUCGUCUAAGUUGAUGUGUCGGCAGGUUGGAUUUUUGGUGCUUAGUGUUGUUUUCAUACGGGGCGCUCACUAGCAAAGCCAUUGGGCCAGCCCAUGUAAAGCGAACAGUGAUUGAGCUGCCCAAUCUGAUUUUGCGAUUUUUGCACUCAUAUUUUCCCCUGAAUCUAUCAAUCAUUUUUUCAAAUACCACUCAAUUUUUUUCAGAAUCCACAAACUAUUUUUGCAAAUUUGUGAACAGUUUUUAAUCCACGAACUUUUUCCACAAAAAUCAUGAACUUUUUUCAAAUUCGCAAACACUCUCAAAUCAGUGAACUUUUCUUCAAAUUCACGAGAUUUUUCCAGAUCCAUGAGUUAUUUUUUCAAAUUCUCUAAGACUUAUAAAAUAAGUGAACUUUUUUAAAGUUCACUAAUACUUAUCCAAUCAGUGAAGUUUUUCUAACUCAUGAGUUUUUUUUCAAACCACAAUCUUUUUAUGAAUUCGCAACAAUAAAUUCAUGAACACUUUCCAAAUCAGGGAUGGUUAUUUUCAAAAUUCACAAACGUUUUAUGAAUUCACAAGUUUUAUUUUUCAAAUCCAUGAGUUUUUUGGAAUUUGCAAACUUUUAAAAAAGGGGAGUUUCAUAAAAUUCCAUGAACUUUUAAAAAUGCACCAGUUUUUUUGAAGUCCAUGAUAUGUUUUCGAAUCGUAAUCUUUUCAAAUCCAUGAUAUUUUUUCGAAUUCUUGAUUUUUAUCAAACCCAUGAAACUUUUCUCAAUGUCCAUGAACUGUUUUCAAAUUUGCGAACAUUAUUCAAACCUACAAUUUUGUACGAGUUUUGUUUCAAAUACGCGGCGCUCACUAUCCAAGCCUGCAAGGGUGUGUCUAUAACGGGUUGGCCGGUGUUCCUGGUUUUAAAUGGUAUUGUGUGGUUUUUCAUUUUUCUGUCUUUUCUGUGUCUUCUCUACUGUUUUAGUAUAUUUUCUUUGAUUUAUGAUUUUACUCUUUCCAUUAUUUUAUUCUCCUUUUUUUCAUAUCUUAAUUCAUGAAUAUUUAUUCAGUUUAUGAAUAUUGUAAAACAUGAUUUCCAUUUAAAAUUCACAAAAAAGUAAUAUUCGUGAAUUUUCUUUAAAUUCAUGAAUAUUUCUAUAGUUCACAAAACAAUUACAGCCUAUUUAUUUUAAAAAAUUUGAACCUCUGUUAGAAUUCACUAACAUUGUUUGAAGUCCAUGAAUAUUUUAUAGAUGUCUGAACAUCUUAGAAUAAUCAUAGUUAUUCUGUUUUGCAAUAUUUUUUGAAAUUUUGUGAACAUAGUUUUAGUUAAUGAAUUCUUUCAAACCAAAAAAAUAUGGUAAUCAUAUUUUCGGAGCUAGGAGUGUAGUGAGCAGGGAAAAAAAAGCUAAGUGGGUGAGUGAAGCACGUGCCAUGUUGAGCGAGCGAGAGCUACAUUGACUGGCCCAUGUGAGUGUUACUCCCUCCGUUCUUAAAUACAAGUUUUUUAAGAGUUUUUAUUAGGGGUUUACAUACGGAGCAAAAUGAGCGAAUCUAUAUUCUAAAGUAUGUUUAUAUACAUCCGUAUAUAGUCCACUGAUUGAACCUCUAAAAAAAUUUAUAUUUAAAAACGGGGGAGUAUAAUAAUAAUUCCAUGAUUUUAAUACGGAAUAAGAGCUUCCAAGGGGCUUACGCAACACAAUCAUCAUCGGCUGACACCAAGGCCCAAACGUGUAAGGACAACAUUAGCACACAUGUAACAACUACGGUUUCCUCACGGAACAGCUAUAUUCUUCAAUAACAGCCCAACACGUUAUAUUAACGAGAAACACCGGAGGUGGUGUAUUGGAACAUAGGUGUAGAUACACCUCUACACCUACCAUGAAAUAUAUAUGUUAAUAAUACAUUUCAAAAUGUUACAAAAUUGCAAACAAAAAUUUCGCAUGUACAUUCGGACAUUCUGUGUUCGCACACUAAAUUCACAAGGAAAGAACUUUUUGUGGCAUGUAUAAAAGAGAUAAAAAUAAUAUCUCGUGAAUAGUUGUAAUCAAGCAUCGAAAAUUGUCUUUUAUACACAAGCCACAAAAAAUGUCCCUUUUUACCGAAACAUUAUGCAUGAACAUAUAAUGUCCGGAUGUACGCAUUAGAUUUUUUUUCUUUAAUUUUUUAACAUUUUAAAAUGUGUAUAUUUAAACAAUGGAUGGAUAUACAUCUAUGAGCCAAAAUGAACUUAUCGUCCACCAUAACAUAGCUAAAUUCAAGUGAGCGUUGAUAAAACCAAAAUGAAAGAACCAAUCGCAAUAAUUUGCUAAAGAAAAAGGAGUUAAUACCAUGAAUGAAGGACACCACAGCGAAGCGCGCGUUAGCUUCUCAUCACACUGAUACAGAUGAAAUAACUUGUAUAAGAAUUUUACAAGUUUAAAUCUUAGCGACUUUGGUGUUGCCUUACUGCUCUAGCAUAUUUUAUUUCCUAGUUAGUGUACUUGAUUCGGCCUUGAUAUAUGUCAAACUACAGGAAACGAGUGCGGUGCUACAGAAGCGAAUUGAGCACGGGUCCAAGUAUGAAAACUUUGGCAAGCUCUCCUUGUUCAGUACUUUCAAAUCGUUAUUUUAUAUUUUAUCUUACUCCCUCCAUAUCAUAAUAUAAAAAAAAAUUGACACUAUGAUGGUGUCAAAAAGAUAUCUCAUAUUUUGAUACAAAGGGAGUAUCAUCAAGAUGCAUAAAAUAUGUUGACAUAAAUCGUGUGGAAUAACGGUUGGCAAAUAGUUGGGUAGAUGGAGCACUUAAUCCAUUGAUAUAAUUAUUUGGCGGGUACGAGGUGCCCGGGAUGGACAUAUUGGAAGGUGUCUUCCACUUACAUAUGAGCAUCAUAUACGAAUAAAUUCACUCUCACUUUGUAUGCGCAUCCAUACAAAAAUCGUAUCAACUACAUGCUUGCCAAAAAUAAUGUCAAGCAAAGGCCUACUACAUAUCUGGCGAUUUUACUAUCCACAUGGGUACUAGGUUGGGUGAUUAAAUUCCAAACCAAUGCCAGAUAAGUGCAUUAGCAGUACGCUAUUAUAUUUAAGUGUUGGUGGAGUGUCGAGUAUCUUUGCUUGACUCAACGACUAGGUAAUACUCCUUCCGUCCCGAAAUAAGUGUUUUAACUUUAUAUUAAUUUUAAUAUAAAAUUAUACUAAACUUAAAACAUUUAUUUUGGAACAGAGGAAGUACCUAACUGAAUGGAAGUAUAAUGUGCUAAAUGGGGAAAGCUUUGAACUCUGUCUGGGUCUCUUAUAUGACGAGAAUAAGGCCCUGUUUGGAACCAUAAUAGAUUAUGAUAAUAUGGAUUAUGAAGAUAGAUUAUAUAAUCUGGUUUAUAAAAAUAAUCUAAGUGGACAUGUUUGGAGGCCAGAUUAUAUAAACUGUAAUAAAGGUUUUACAUUGCAUAAUGACCCGUCUGCCCUCUGGUUUUUUUUAAAAAAAAAGAGAAGGAUGGCGGUGGUAGGAAUGUAAUUAUUUCCAACUUUAUAAGGGUAAUGGGUCAUUAGCAAUCCAUAAUCUGAUUUUAGCUGGUAUAGAGUAGCUUAUGAGUUUUUAAUAAUCUAUCCAUCUAGUUUUUAUAAUCUACACCAUAAGUUGUCCUGUUUGGAAACAUAAUAGAUUAUAAAAACUGAAUUAUAUAAUCUGGGUGGUUCCAAACAGGGCCUAACAAAAACUAGAGUUUAUGUGGGUAAAGUGAUACAGCCUAGGCACUGCCAAAUAAAAUCAUGCCCACUUCUUGGAUUGGAGGCCACGGGAAUCUAUUGGUGGUUCUAUCAUGUGAUAGAGUGACUAGUGAUUUUCUAGAUUGAACUGAACUUUUUUUUUACAACAACUGUUUAUUUUAAAAGGUGUUAAGCUUAGGUAGGACUUUUUAACUUAUACUCCCUCCUUCUAAGAUAAGUGAUUUAAUUUUGUAUUGAUGAUAGUAAAAUUAGUAUAAAAUUAAAUCAUUUAUUUUAAAACAGAGAAAAUAUACACUAUCAUGAGCGUUGUAAAGCUUCCUGUGUAUAUUGUACUCACCCUCAUUAUUAAUUCCCUCUUUCUUAAAGCCAAUCUUGUAUGAGAUUCCUAAUGGACCAAGUGAGAGAAAGAAUGAUGACGGCUAAAACUACACAACAGCCCUAAAUGUCGAUCCAUUGAGUGAUAUGUACGAUCUGAAUGUCAGAUAGGAGGGUUGGGAAUGAAUAUCAUAGAUAUGAAGCUGUGUACUUCAUGAACCAUCUUAUCAUCAUCUAUUUAGCAGUACUAGUUGAAUUCCAGUAUUGUAAUAUAAAAGCAUCUACAAUCGAAUUUCUCAUACCCGUCUCAGACACUCGAGCAGGCUGUCCGAUCAAUGAUCGGUCACAAAAACAUAAUCUAAUCGGAUCCCUCAUGUCCGUCUCAAACGCCGGGACCGACCGACAUCCUUUAUAUCAAUCUCAAAUACGAGGACGAUAUAAGGGAUAGUGGACACCUUCAAUCAGUGCGCCACAUAGGACGCGACCCCAUUCGAACCAUUUUAUUAUUAUUAUUAAUUCUUUUUUCUCUCUUUUCUUCUUCAUUAAUCACGUGCAAAGUGAUUGGACAUAUAAGAAAUAAUAUGAGAAGUACGACUGCACGAACGAAAAUGUAAGGGCUUAAAACGGACACGCCCGGUCAGCGUCCGCGAACGUUUGAGGGGUCAGAUUUGCCAAGUCUGACUGUAGAUGCUCUAAGAGCAUCUCCAAAGCUUACUGUUAGAGCAUAUAUCUUCAUAUGUGAUUUUGGUAAUUGAUGACAAUUCCUAUGGACUAAUGGUUGCCUUAAGUUAUAUUUAUAGGAUUUGUCCAUAGGCACUUCUUGAAGUCCAUCUGUUGGGUUCAAGGAGUUUAUAUGAUGACCAAGGUGGUAUUCAAGGUAUUAUCCAAAGAAUGGUCAUAGAGACACAAGGUUGAUCAAGAUCUCAGACAAAGAGUAAAUCAAGAUGAUCAACACACAAAGCGUACAAGAUGUACCGAGAAGGAUCAAGUGAUCCCAUGGUAUGGUAAGCAUUGUCCAUUACGUGUUUGUGUACUAACCCAUGGUCUUCGUGAGAGUUCUAUAUGGGGGUUAGGUGUGUUUCCAUGGGCUUGCGUCAAAGAGAAGAUCUCAUACAACCCAUGAAGUAUGACGUCAAGUUGUGAUCGACAUCAAGAUUGCGAUGUGCAAGUUCAAGUGGAUCAGCACAAAGAUAUCAUGCUUGAAGCUUGCUGUCCAUUGACAAAGAGUAAAUUAAGAUGAUCGACACACAAAGCGUACAAGAUGUACCGAGAGGGAUCAAGUGAUCCCAUGGUAUGGUAAGCAUUGUCCAUUACGUGUUUGUGUACUAACCGAUGGUCUUCGUGAGAGUUCUAUGUGGGGGUUAGGUGUGUUUCCAUGGGCUUGCGUCAAAGAGAAGAUAUCAUACAACCCAUGAAGUACGACGUCAAGUUGUGAUCGUCAUCAAGAUUGCGAUGUGCAAGUUCAAGUGGAUCAGCACGAAGAUAUCAUACUUGAAGCUUGCUGUCCAUUGUGGUGGUAAUGGACUUGUGAAGAUAUGCUGAAGAGUGGCUCAUCCAUAGUGAGUAUGGGGGAGCAAUCAACUAGUCUUCAUCAAGCCAACGCAAUCAAGAAAGGUGGUCCAUCUUGAGGAAGCCAAGAUCAUCAUCAUCUACCUCAAGAGGACGAGGUGCAAGGUAUAGGUUUGCCCUUGAUAGGUUUUCUGGUUAGGAUAGAUUGCUGUACUAUCAAGGGGGGCUCUCAAGUGAGUAGUUUGAUCGUAUCGUUCGUUGAGAGCUCAAACCAUUUGCAUCCUUGCAUCAUACUUCUUGGUUCUUGUUUGGUGUUUCUCUUUGUGAGUUUUAGAGCUUAUGGUCAUCUUCGUGACAAGCUCGAGUUCAUCGAAAACGGAGUCCAUAUGCAUCUACUAUGAUGUUUUCGAUGUUGGAGUUUUUGUCGGUUCUUCAUUCAUAGAGAUCUCACAUCUCUAUAUCAUUGGCAUUUUCAUAUCUGCAUGGUCUUAAGAUUUCGACAUGGCUGUUUGGAUAGCUCUUGUCGUCCUGAAUCCAACAAGCUUGGGUUUGCUCGAUUCAGAGCUCGUAUGCGAAAGUUAUGGUUGUUUCAGUGUCGAGCGAUAGUACCGCUGGACCUAGCGGUAGUACCGCUAGAGUUGGCGGUAGUACCGCUGGCCCUAGCGGUAGUACCGCCCCUGGUCAGCGGUAGUACCGCUCCAGGAGCUUAGUACCGCCUGCUUAGCGGUUGUUCGUGGACGGACCUUUUUGCGAAGACUUUCUUGGCGGUGGUAGUGCCUUUGCACUACCAGGGCCCAACGGUAGUACCGCUGGAGUGCCAGCGGUAGUACCGCUGGAGCUCGGGCAGAGAGUGGGGGUAACGGUCUGAUUCCUUCCCCCACUAUAUAAAGGGGGUCUUCUUCCCCCUUGGCCUUAUCCAUCCGUUGAGCUCUUGUUCUACCUCCAUUAUUGACAUUCUUAGAGCUUGCUUACUCUCAAUCCCUCCAAUGAUUCUUGCUUGUUCUUGAGGGAAAAGAGAGAGGAGAUCUAGAUCCACAUCUCCACCAAUCACUUUCUCCUCUAUGUGAGGGGAACCCAUUGGAUCUUGAUCUUGGAGUUCUUUGUGAGCUCCUUGUUCUUCCUCUCAUAUUUCUCCAUAGCUUUCGUUGUUGUGGAGGGAUUUGAGUGUGAGGGACUUGACCACAUCGUGUGUUCUUGCCAUUGCAUUAGUUGCAUCGGUUUGAGUUCUCCACGGUGAUACGUGGAAGUGAAGUUUGAGAAGCUUAUUACCUUUGGUACUUAGUACCCUAGAUAUUGUUCUUCGCGGAUGAUUUGGAGUCCUAGAAGCUUGGUGGUGUCUUGGAGCUCAAUCAUUGUGGUGUGAAGCUCCGGGCAAGCGUUGGGGUCUCCAAUUAGGUUGUGGAGAUUGCCCCGAGCAAUUUGUACGGGUACCGGUAACCGCCCCCAAGGGUUGCCACGUGUACGGGUUCGGUGACCGCCCCCAAGGUUUGCCAUUUGUACGGGUUCGGUGACCGCCCUCAAGGGUCCCUUAGUGGAAUCACGGCAUCUUGCAUUGUGCGAGGGCGUGAGAAGAUUACGGUGGCCUUACUAGCAUCUUGGGGAGCAUUGUGCCUCCACACCGCUCUAACGGAGAUUAGCAUCCGCAAGGGUGUGAACUUCGGGAUACAUCAUCGUCUCCCCGUGCCUCGGUUAUCUCUUACCCGAACCCUUUACUUAUGCACUUUACUUUGUGACAGACAUAUUGUUUAUUGUAAUAUAUCUUGCUAUCACUUAGUUGUUUAUCUUGCUUAGCAUAAGUUGUUGGUGCACAUAGGUGAGCCUAGUUGUUUGUAGGUUUUGUGCUUGACAUAUUAAACGUUAGUUUUAUUCCGCAUUUGUUCAAGCCUAAACCUUAAUUAUUUUAAAGCGCCUAUUCACCCCCCCUCUAGGCGACAUCCACGUCCUUUCACUUACCCGUAAACUGGAUGCUGCAUCCGUCCGUGGACAAGGUGACUAGUCCAUGAACACGGAUAUGGGAGGCAGUUAUCCAAAGCUAGUCACUAUAUGCCCGCCAAUAAAGCACAGUUUGAAAUUCAAAUACGUCCGAACAUACCAUGCGUCGAAUCACGCCAACACCGGAUCACAUCAUCGGUCGAUCACAACCAAGACAAGCAUGCUUAGUUUUUACAUGUCGUGGUCGUGAAAGAGUAUUAUACGACAAUUCUUCAAUUAUAGUCUCCAUGCCCAAUCCGCCGUCGCCACUGUGGAGGCCGCCUUUGUCCCAGCAGUGACAUCGACAAUGUAGGGCACUUGCCUGGUCGCGGAUGUCCAGGACAUCCUACCCAUCUUCUUGGCGGCGUAGUAGUCAGUAGCCUUGUAAUGCCCUGGCCAUGGCGGCGUCCACAAGGUCGGCGAGGGCGACAUGGCACAAUCUCAACGUUCACGACCAGCAUGCCCACCGACACGUCUGCCACCACCACACCUCCGUUGGCCUUCUGCUUCUUGAGUGUCUCCCCCUUUGUGGCGUUCGCUUUGACACGAUGAUUUUGCCGUGUCGUCGAAGUUGAUCUUCCGUGCGAGCGUGUAGCUUGGAUCCUCCACCACCAUCAUCUCUGACAGGGUCUCCUCUGGCUCCAUGCACCGACGAUGACAAGGAGGGAAGAAGAGAUUGCGGAAAAAUGGCUCGAACUGGGUGAAGAGCAGCUGGAGGGAAGAAGAGAGCGAAGGAUUCUUCUGCAGAAACAGUGAGGCUAGCUUGAAAAGCGCAGACUCCGUCUGAGUUCGACGUUGGAUGGCUCGCGGGUCCAGACAACUGAGUCGAGAUGGAUACAAGUGGUUUGAGGGUCUUUGUUAGAGAUGUCCUAAAUGACUAUAUAUGUAGUUAUUUUCCUGUUGCAAAUUCGUGACAUGGAUUAUUAUUUGAUAAAAAUGAAUUCUGUUAAGAAAUAAUUCAAGGACUAGUGUAAUUAUCUAAAUUAGUAAUGACACGGGUCGUCACAACACUCCUCGACAAACGGCAAAAUUAACGAAUUUGACUCAUGGACGAAAGUAUUUCACAAACUGGACCACGUUCAAAAAAAUUCAUUCAGGUGAUCCUUCUAUGUGGCGCUCGACAGUGAGAUGCUUUAGGCGUCACACUGUUUUGUGUGGUGCCUAUGACUUAGACGCCACACAACCUAGUGUUAGGCGUCACAAAUUGCAGUGUGUCGUCUAAGCCAAAUAUGUCAAAAAAAAGUCAAACGGGUAAAAUCUUUUCAAACGCGGUUCAAUUUAUAAAAUACUUUCGUUUUUUGUGUCAAAAUUUUCCAUUUUGCCCCCACCAUCACGUCCGUCGGCACCACACCCUUGGCUGGCGUUUUGCUUCUUGAGCGUUUCCGUCUUUGCGGCCUUCGCUUUGAUGCGACAAUCUUUCCGUGUCGGUGAGUUGAUCCUCCGGGCGAGCAAUUAUACAUGUCACGAGUAAACAAUAGCAAUGGCGUGGGACCAGUGUUUUGAGAUCUCAAGGGGAGAUUUGGGAGCUGUGGUGGCUUCCUCCUUUCGGGCAGCCAUGACAUGACCCCCUGCUCAGCACUCUCCAAGUCGACGAUGCGACCUUGGAUCUGCUGCCAUCCUUUGCGAUGUUCGAAGCGGCCCUUUCAGGCAUCGGAUUUCAAAGUCCUAGGAGCGGCAGUCGUAUGCUGCUUCCGUUCCUCGCCAGCAUCCUCAAAGACACGCGCACGUUUUCGCCCUCGUUAACAAGUUGUUGAAGCUGGUUCCGUACGUCGUUGGCAGUGAAAACUCAGCUCCUGGUCCUAAGGUACAGUUCCUAGCCCUACUUGGGAACUGUGCCGUGGAAAUGAAAAAUGCAAGGCGUGGCUGCCUGCAAAACGCCGGGCAGUUCGCCGCCCUAGCAAAAAGGCGACGUACCAUGUUGUCCAAGCAAUCAAAAUCAGGUCACCCUCCCUUUACUGCUGCCGGCGUCAGUGUCAGCUAGCCAGAUAGUGAAUUCAGAACACACAUGGACAGGGAGUACUUGCUUUCAAUCAAAGAAAAGAACAUGGAGAAGUACUACGUACGUGCUCAACUGAUUAAUGUUGAAGUCGAUCGAACUUUCACCGGUAGGAGGAAUAAUGCACCGUGGUAUUACUACUCAGAAUUACACUCACCAGCCAUGCAAUUAAUUAACCUGCAUUUUCCAACAGAUUAGGAUAGUACUAGUAACUUGUAUGAGCCGCCUCAGAAAAAUACUAUGCAAGCACUGCUCAUGCAUGUAUAUUCAGCACACUGGUAUUAUCGCUUGAAACAAAACAAAACAAGACAAAACAAGACAAAAAAUCUCAUUGUCCUCACUCCACGUGCAUCGAGAUCUCUCUUACUUAUGAGCCACACAAUAGAAAUGCAAGAUAUCUUGCCAAAGUACUAGUAAUAGAAAUAUAGCAGAUAAUUACAACAUAUAGGAGUAGUUUGCAUGAUACAGGUUCCACUCGUUCGUGAUCAACUACCAGCAAACAUGGAGGUAGAACCACCGCUAACAAUUUUCCCCGAUCUAGUCGAUCGUGAACGCUCGGUAAUUACUGGAUCCGACGCCAUUGCCUGCAAUGGUGUAUGGCAUGCAUGACCGCCCUUCAGGCUUCAGCAUGCAUGUGUGUCUUGAUCAAGGCAGGUGUGUGCAGUCCUAGCACGCUGGAGGUCUGGAGGUCGAUAAAAUGGGUAAUGGGUAAUGAUCAGUUCUGAGGGCAGAAGGGCGUGCCGGGCUUCUCCCUGUGGCUGGGGAUGACGAAGUGCCGGAUCCUGCCGACCUGCUCGGCGAGGUAGGCUUCGCAGAGGAAGGCCUUGGAGAAGCUGUCCUCCACCGCCCGGUCCACGUCGUGCACGAACACGUCCGUGGCGCCGUCGCCGGGCCGCCGCGCGCGGGCCGCCAUGCCGGCCGUGUAGAUGGCGCCCAUCCUCCCGGGCGCCUCGGGCGUCCACCCCGUGGGCGCGUCCACCAUGAUGAGGUCCCACUCGGUCUCGUGGAACACGGCGGGGAGGCCGCGCAGCGCCAGCCGGCACGAGGCCUCGGCGGCGGCGGCGAGGUCCGGCUGCGCGGUGCACCCCGGGUGGUCGCGCAGGGCGAUGAGGUCGUCGGCCUCGGUGAGGCGGGUGUCGUAGGUCACGUGGUACGACUCGAGGCCCGGGUGCGCGGCGCGGACGGAGGCGAUCCAGGACGCGUCCUCCUCGAGGAACACAGUGCGGCCGCCGUGGUUGAGCGCCGCCCACAUGGGGCUGUCGUGCCCGAGGCCGAACACCAGGAAGUUGCACGGCGAGCGGCGCUGCAGCACGCGCAGCGACACCCCGAUCUCCGCCGCCGUCUGCUGCGGCGUCACGUUCGACGUCGCGUAGUGCACCAGGGCCUCGGCCACGGCCCCCGGCAGCUUCGAGCACGACCCGUCGCCAUCGCUCUCGCCGCCGCGCAGCCGCGAGGCGUGGGAGGAGGAGGAGGAGAAGAGCGUGCGGGCGGAGAAGAGGAGGAGGAAGGCGGCGAGGGCGGCGACGAGGAGGAGGCGGUGGCCGAGGAAGCCGUGCAGCUUGGCCUUCAUGGAGGCGAGGUGGAGGGCCUGCUUGCGGGCGUGCGUGGGGCUCGACAUGGACGCUCGUCGGUUCUUCUUGUCUUGGGUGGCGAGGGGUUUAUAGGCGAAGAGGAUCGAUGCUUGAAGGAAGGGGAGGCGAUGGAGGGAAGGAAGGAAGAAGAGAUUGGUAAUGGAGGAGGAGGGGCGGAUGGGAUUGUGAUGAUGGGGUUGGGUUGGGUUGGGUGACGAGGACACGAGACCUGCAAAGUUUGGUGUAGGGUUGGCUUUCGGAUGGACGGGUGGAUGGAUGCUUUGGGUUGUGGGGCGCCCUUUUCGGUUGAGAGGACGGCAGGCGUUGAUGCAAAGGAAUGGGCCGAAUGUCGACUGUAUUUCCUUUUUCUUUUCUUUUUCUCUUGAUGAUAUACAUAGUGCUGAUUAUUGUGUUUUAAAUACGAAGUAGACGUCGUGAGGGAGAUGUCGGCCACGGUAUUAUCUUCAACAGUUUAGACUGAAUUUUUUUGAAACGUUUAUAUUGAUAUUACUAUCAUAUAUACUCCCUCCGUUCCUAAAUAUAAGACCUUUUAAAAGUUUCAUUAUGAACAACAUACGGAUGUAUAUAGACACAUUUUAGAACAUAGAUUGACUCAUUUUGCUUUGUAUGUAGUCCAUAGUGAAAUGUCUAAAAGGUCUUAUAUUUAAGAAUGAAGGGAGUAAGCAAUAGCAUAUUGUUGUCUUGACAUAUUUGCGAGAAGGCCGAUAGGACGACACAAAAACGAGAAUUUCAUCCAACAACAUAAUUCGUUAUCUGCAGGAAAAAAAUUGACCCGGGUUGACACAUUUAUAGAUGCAAGCGCUCAUAUAAAUGCACAUACAGUUAAUCAAUAAACAUACACACGUACAUCCUAUCUCAUGAAUAUUUUUAAAAGAUUGAGCCAACAUAUCAUCCUGAGAUUUACAUAGUCAUUCUAGACGUCUCGUUAUCGACGAAAACGUUUCACUGAAUACGUAGCCGAAAAUUCUAAAAUAAAUUCAGAAAAGAUGCGAGCAUCUGUACUUGAACCCGACGGACUCAGGGUACCACUAUUCAUCUAGCCAUCCAACAAUGGAUUGGUUCACACUUUUCCUAUUCAAUGUUAUUGUUGCAUCUAUGAGAGUUCAUCGGUGUUUUAUUCAGACGGCUAAUUAUUGUGUUUUAAAUACGAAGUAGACGUCGUGAGGGAUGGAGUAGGCCACAAUAUUAUCAAUAAUAUAUAUUGAUUUCUAUUCUGUGAAAUGUUUAAACUGAUACUACCAUCACAAGCAAUGACUUAUCAUUGUCUCGACGCAUUUGCGAGAAGUCUGAUAGGAUGAUAGAGAAUUUUGUUCAACGACAACCUUUGUUAUCUGCAGGAAAAACUAAUGAUGUAGUUUGACACUUGGUGGGCAUUCCUGUUCAAUGUUGUUGUUAACGGCAUGGAUCCGCAAAAGCUCACUAGUGACUUGCUAGACCGGCCAUUAAAUCCAACGUGGUCAACAAGGUGAUGGUAGAGACACCUGGCUUAAGGGCGGCGCCGGGAUGGAGUGGAUGCGGCCACAGGCAAGGCGGUAAGGAGGAUGUCAUUUUACAUAUUGACACGAUUUUAAUACAUGGUCUUGAGCCCAUCUUGCAUCCUAAGACUUAUAGAAGCAUGACGUGGUAAACUGAUGCUCUUGUACAAAGCAUUGAUUUUUGCAACAACAACAGCAAAACUACAUUUUCAGCAGAAAACAAAAAUUAGGCAAGAAGCAAGUAAAUUUUGAGCCAUUUCCAAUGAUGAUGUUAUGCGGAACACCAUAUUUUUAGAUGAUGUUUCUGAUGAACCUAGUGAAGUUCUCGCACCAGCCUUCACUAUAGGAUUUGCCUCUAUCCACUACGACAAUAGGAUCAGCGAAGCCCCCAUCGAGCAUUGUCCGAUCUCAUUUGAUAUGGCGGUUGACAUCGACAAUGGGUGUUUCGAACCAUAUCACUAAUGAGACACAUGCACGCAGCUUGUGGCGGAAAUUGAAGGAGUUGUUCACACACCUUUGACAAGAUAAACAAAUUGUGAAGACAUAACUACUUCUUCUACAAUUGUUUUGGUGUGAAUUUCAUGUAUUACCCCCUGGUAUUCUAGGUUGGACAAUGGUUAUCCAAAAGUCCAGCCGAUUUUCAUUGCCACGCCUUUUUUUGUAUCUUAUGUGUGUAAGGUUUCUCAUGAGUUGGAGUCAUAAGUCUGGAGAAACACAAUGGUAGAGUCAAAGAACCACUAUGGGAAAAGCUUUCUAUGUCAAGCGUUAGGUACUUUGGCAAGUGAAUUUUAUUGAGCACUCAACAAACAAGGCCUUUGUCGAGUGCCUAAAGAAAACACUUGACAGAAAAAUCAUACUUGACGAACAUCACCAUUGUCGAAUACCAUCCAAAAAAAGAGUUGGUGAAAACGUUGCACUAGGCACAAAUUGAGCCUGGCACUUGGCAAAGACCAAGCACAUGAAAAACACAGUGACACGUGUCCGUGGACACCGUCGUUGAUGGACAAGUGACAAUGUUGCCACUAGAGGUUGCAGUACACAUUUGAGAAUGUCACGCAAAAGUUGUCACACAUACUACUUAUAAACCGAACCAUCUCCAAGGAAGGAACUAUGUUUUGACAAGGAAAGAGAGCAGGUUUGCAUGCAAAGAGAUCGUUGAUUUAUCCAUUGACCUUCAAAAGAUUAUACACUCAAGAUACACCACUACAUGUUCCAUGUCAAAAUUUGGCAUAUUCCUGCUGGAAAAUGUAGUAGAAAAAAAAUCAGGACUAUUUAUAGAAUCAAGAAUCACUAUGAAGAUGCAAAGAGAUUUAGAUUUGAACUUUACCAAUAAAAGUCAGCUGAGAGGAGAUGUUGGUGCAGACUAGACGCAGAUUCCUGACGCUAUGAUUAAACCUCACAACAAUAGUAACAAAGGUGCAGCAAGAUGGCCCAAUCCCUUUUGUAGCAAGGGACAAGCCUGGACAAACUCUUAUAUGAGGUGAAGCGCUCCCGAGGACACAUGGAAUUUCUGUCAAGCUAGUUUUCAUCAUGUUCAUAUGAUUCGCGUUCGCUACUUUGUGUUGGGGAACGUCGCAUGGGAAACAAAAAUUUUCCUACGCGCACGAAGACCUAUCAUGGUGAUGUCCAUCUACGAGAGGGGAUGAGUGAUCUACGUACCCUCGUAGAUCGUACAGCAGAAGCGUUAGAGAACGCGAUUGAUGUAGUGGAACGUCCUCACGUCCCUCGAUCCGCACCGCGAACAAUCCCGCGAUCAGUCCCACGAUCUAGUACCGAACGGACGGCACCUCCGCGUUCAGCACACGUACAGCUCGACGAUGAUCUCGGCCUUCUUGAUCCAGCAAGAGAGACGGAGAGGUAGAAGAGUUCUCCGGCAGCGUGACGGCGCUCCGGAGGUUGGUGAUGAUCUCGUCUCAGCAGGGCUCCGCCCGAGCUCCGCAGAAACGCGAUCUAGAGGAAAAACUAUGGAGGUAUGUGGUCGGGCAGCCGUGAGAAAGUCGUCUCAAAUCUGCCCUAAAAGCUCCAUAUAUAUAGGAGGAGGGAGGGGGACCUUGCCUUGGGGUCCAAGGGAUCCCCAAGGGGUCGGCCGAGCCAGGGGGGAGGACUCUCCCCCCCCAAACCGAGUCCUACUUGGUUUGGUGGGAGGGAGUCCUUCCCCCUUCCCACUUCUUCCUUUUUUUUCUUUCCUUUGAUUUUUCUUCCUUGGCGCAUAGGGGAUUGGUGGUCUGUCCCACCAGCCCACUAAGGGCUGGUGUGACCCCCCAAAUACCUAUGGGCUUCCCCGGAGUGGGUUGCCCCCCUCCGGUGAACUCCCGGAACCCAUUCGUCAUUCCCGGUACAUUCCCGGUAACUCCGAAAACCUUCCGGUAAUCAAAUGAGGUCAUCCUAUAUAUCAAUCUUCGUUUCCGGACUAUUCCGGAAACCCUCGUGACGUCCGUGAUCUCAUCCGGGACUCCGAAAAACAUUCGGUAACCAACCAUAUAACUCAAAUACGCAUAAAACAACGUCGAACCUUAAGUGUGCAGACCCUGCGGGUUCGAGAACUAUGUAGACAUGACCCGAGAGACUCCUCGGUCAAUAUCCAAUAGCGGGACCUGGAUGCCCAUAUUGGAUCCUACAUAUUCUACGAAGAUCUUAUCGUUUGAACCUCAGUGCCAAGGAUUCGUAUAAUCCCGUAUGUCAUUCCCUUUGUCCUUCGGUAUGUUACUUGCCCGAGAUUCGAUCGUCAGUAUCCGUAUACCUAUUUCAACCUCGUUUACCGGCAAGUCUCUUUACUCGUUCCGUAAUACAAGAUCCCGCAACUUACACUAAGUUACAUUGCUUGCAAGGCUUGUGUGUGAUGUUGUAUUACCGAGUGGGCCCCGAGAUACCUCUCCGUCACACGGAGUGACAAAUCCCAGUCUUGAUCCAUACUAACUCAACUAACACCUUCGGAGAUACCUGUAGAGCAUCUUUAUAGUCACCCAGUUACGUUGCGACAUUUGAUACACACAAAGCAUUCCUCCGGUGUCAGUGAGUUAUAUGAUCUCAUGGUCAUAGGAAUAAAUACUUGACACGCAGAAAACAGUAGCAACAAAAUGACACGAUCAACAUGCUACGUCUAUUAGUUUGGGUCUAGUCCAUCACGUGAUUCUCCCAAUGACGUGAUCCAGUUAUCAAGCAACAACACCUUGUUCAUAAUCAGAAGACACUGACUAUCAUCGAUCAACUGGCUAGCCAACUAGAGGCAUGCCAGGGACGGUGUUUUGUCUAUGUAUCCACACAUGUAAAUGAGUCUUCAUUCAAUACAAUUAUAGCAUGGAUAAUAAACUAUUAUCUUGAUACAGGAAUUAUAAUAAUAACUAUACAUUUAUUAUUGCCUCUAGGGCAUAAUUCCAACACUUUGAUAUUUUGAUAUGUGGGUGGACCGGUGCUUGGGUGCUGCCCUUACUUGGACAAACAUCCCACUUAUGAUUAACCCCUCUCACAAGCAUCCACAACUACGAAAGAAGAAUUAAGACUAAGCCUAACCAUAACAUUAAACUAGUGGAUCCAAAUCAGCCCCUUACGAAGCAACGCAUAAACUAGGGUUUAAGCUUCUGUCACUCUAGCAACCCAUCAUCUACUUAUUACUUCCUAAUGCCUUCCUCUAGGCCCAAAUAAUGGUGAAGUGUCAUGCAGUCGACAUUCACAUAACACCACUAGAGGAAAGACAACAUACAUCGCAUCAAAAUAUCAAACGAAUACCAAAUUCACAUGACUACUUAUAGCAAGACUUAUCCCAUGUCCCGAGGAACAAAAGUGACUACUCACAAAGCAUAAUGAUGUUCAUGACCAGAGAGGUAUUGAAUAGCAUUAAGGAUAUGAACAUAUGAUCUUUCACCGAGUAAUCCAACUAGCAUCAACUACAAAGAGUAAUUAACACUACUAGCAACCUUACAAGUACCAAUCGGAGUCGCGAGACGGAGAUUGGUUACAAGAGAUGAACUAGGGUUUGGAGAUGAGAUGGUGUUGAUGAAGAUGUUGAUGGAGAUGAGUCCCCUCCAAUGAGAGGAGCGUUGGUGAUGACGAUGACGACGAUUUCCCCCUCCGGGAGGGAAGUUUCCCCGACAGGACGGCCCUGCCGGAGCUCUAGAUUGGUUCUGCUCAAGUUCCGCCUCGUGGUGGCGGCGUCUCUUUCAGAAAGCCUCCUCCUGAUUUUUUCUCGGACAAAACCCUACUUAUAGGAAAAGAUGGGAGCCGGAAGGGGUAGCGGGGGGCCCACAAGCCACCCAGGCGCGACCAGGGGGUAGGCCGCGCCUGGCAGGCUUGUGGCCUCCUGGUGGCUCCCCUCUGGUACUUCUUCCGCCCAAUAUUUUUUAUAAAAUCCAAAAUAAUUCCUCGUUGAUUUUUACGGCUUUUGGAGUUGCGCGGAAUAGGUAUCUCAAACUUGCACUUUUUCAGACCAGAAUUCUAGCUGCCGGCAUUCUCCCUCUUCAUGUAAACCUUAUAAAUUAAGAGAGAAAAGGCAUAAGUAUUGCACCGUAAUGUGUAAUAACAGCCCAUAAAAGCGAUAAAUGUCAACAUAAAAGCAUGAUGCAAAAUGGACGUAUCAACUCCCCUAGGCUUAGACCUCGCUUGUCCUCAAGUGGAAGACGAGAUCAAUAAAUAUGCCCACAUGUUUAGAGAUAGAGGUGUUGAUAAAACAACAUACGGACAUGCAGGCAUCAUGAUCAUAUUUAGAACAACAAUAUCGUCAUAUAAUCUCUUAUGCUAAAGUGAUAAUUCCUUCACAAAGUAAAGUAUGGAUCAAGAACCUUAUUGAGAAUUAACAACCAAUAGCUUUUAGUCAUUGAAGCAAUUGCAAUUUAUCAUAACAUCGAAAAGAGUCAAAUAAGAGCCUGUAAAGCAAAUCCACAUACUCAAUCAUCCUUUCGUCUUCUAUAAUUGCUAAAACUCACGUGGUACUCAUGAGAUCAAAGUUUCAGUUGGACACAGAGAAAGAUAGGGGCUUAUAGUUUCGCCUCCCAACUAUUUACCUCAAGGGUAAUGUCAACAAUAAUAAUUCGUGAAUACUAAUUUCCAAGUUGACAUAUGAAUAUAGAUCUUUCCCUAGCACAUGACAUUAGCCAAGAUAAUGGCGAAAUAAGGAAUUGAUGUUGAUCACCACGACUCUUUUAAGGAAAAAAGUUAAGAUACAAGAUAGGCCCUUCGCAGAGGGAAGCAGAGGUUGUCAUGCUUUUGAGGUUUGGAUGUGUGACCUCUUAGUGUGAAGGAACGCCACUUUAUAUUGCCUCCUGUGAUAAAGAACUUUAUUAUGCAGUCUGUCGCUUUUAUGUCUUCCUUAUCAGAGGUCCAUACAAAGCUUAUUUUCCACACACUAAUAGAUCAUACAUAUUUAGGGAGCAACUUUUAUUGCUUGCACCAAUGACAACUUACUUGAGGGAUCUUAUUCAAUCCAUAGGUAGGUAUGGUGGACUCUCAUGGCAAAACUGGGUUGAAGGUUUAUGGAUGCACAAGUAGUAUCUCUACCUAGUGCGGAAGUUUUGGCUGAUAUGAGGUGGAAGCAAUCGUCAUGUGCUAAGGGAUCUCUAGUCAUAUAACAUUGUUCGGAACCAAGCAAACAUAAUUCAUUAUGUUGUCUUCCUUGUUCAACAUCUACUUCUAAGCAUGUAAUAGUUUAAUGAGUGUUCACAAUCAUAGAUAGUGCCCAAGAUGAUAUAUUUAUAUGUGAACCUCUCCUUCUUUAUUACUUCCUAUUAAUUGCAACAAUGACCAAGGUUUACGUUUGUCCACCCACAACAAGUUCCAAUCAACAUUCUUUUUAUAUGUGAAGCCAUCGCUUCCCAUAAGAUCAUUACAUGAUAUUUCAUGCUUUUGUUCUUUUAUUAUUAUUUUCUUUAGAUCAUGGCAUGAAGCAAGGCCCUUAACUAAAACACUCUUUAUUAUAUGACUCACGAACUCAAAUACAUUGGGGGUGACACAAAGCAAAACUCAAGCCUAGAUCACUAAGAACUUUAUUCUACUAGAGAAAGAUAAAACCGAAAAGGAUCGAACUAAGAAAAAGGUAAAGGCAAAAGAUGUGAUGGUGAUACGAUACCGGGGCAACUUGCCCAAGCUUGGCACAAGCCAAGAGGAGUGCCCAUACCCGUGCUUAUUUGUCUUCCUUCAAAGGUGAUGGUGGUGGAGUUGUUGCAAUCUGGGGUUGAUUCUCCGUCUUCCAAGGCAUAGGUGCUCCAUCAUGGAAAGAUGAUCGAGUCUCCGGAAUCCUCAAAUCUGCAGCCAACCGUAUUGAUUUAAAUCUAUACUCAUACUCAUAGUUUUGGUUCUGUAGGUCGUAGAUCUGGGCUUGGAGGUGAUCAAUUCUGUCAUAAAGCCUAGAGAGGUGCUUCACAAUAUCAUUGACAUCAAUCUUGUGCUUGUUGGUGAACUCUGUCGUCAUCAUGUGGUUGGCGUUAAGUCCGCGUUCCACCAUCCCUUGGCACUUGAAGACUUGCUGCUCCAUUGCUUCAAGCCUCGCCUCCAUGCUUCGGGUAUUCUUGGGCCCCUCAACAUCACGGAUGUGCAACACCCCCUCAUGCAUCUCGAUAGAUUGAGGGUGUUGUAGCACUCCUGCGAGGUAGGGAUUGAUGACCUUCUCGAAGAACUUGUCCUUCGGAACUUUUGGGGACGCCAUAGAGAUCUAGAUCUGUGUGCACAGAAGCUCGAAACGAAAACAGAGGAUAUUUGCGUGAUACGAGGGUAACACCUUUCGGGAGAAUAUAUAAUGAAUUUUCCCGACAAAAAGGAGUAUUCCACAAGAAAACGGAGUCCGGGAGGCACACGAGGUGCCCACAAGCCACCCAGGCGCGGCCAGGGGGUAGGCCGUGCCUGGCAGGCUUGUCGCCUCCUCGUGCGGUUUUCGGACUACUUUAAAUUUUUCUAUUUUUCUAAAAAUUCCAAAACGGAGAAAAAUUGCUACUGGAAAAGUUUUGGAGUCGGUUUACUUACCGAAUCACAUACCUCUUCGUUUUUAGAGUCUGAAACAGGCUGAUAAAUAUCCCUUAUGUACUCCUCCGGAGUUAUGGUAUUGAUAAUAUUGCUUUCAACAUUUAUGAGAGUACCUGAGAUAUAAUGCUUGAUUCUUUGCCCAUUUACAACUCUCGGAAAAUUACCUUCCGUGUUGUUGAUCUUUAUGGCACCGGAACGAUAUAAUUUCUCAACAAUGUAAGGACCUUCUCAUUUAGAGAGAAGCUUGCGUGCAAAAAAUCUUAAACGAGAAUUGUAUAGCAAGACAUAAUCACCUACAUUGAACUCACGUUUUUGUAUCCUUUUAUCAUGCCACCUCUUAAUUUUUCUUUAAACAACUUGGCAUUUUCAUAUGCGUGAGUUCUCCAUUCAUCAAGUGAGCUAAUAUCAAAUAACCUCUUCUCACCAGCAAGUUUGAAAUCAAAGUUGAGCUCUUUGAUUGCCCAAUAAGCCUUAUGCUCUAGCUCAAGAGGUAAAUGCCAUGCUUUACUAUAAACCAUUUUGUACGGAGACAUGCCCAUGGGAUUCUUAUAAGCAGUUCUAUAAGCCCACAGUGCAUCAUCAAGCUUCUUAGACCAAUUCUUUCUAGACCUAUUAACAGUCUUUUGCAGAAUUAAUUUAAUUUCUCUAUUACUUAGCUCUACUUGACCACUGGACUGAGGAUGAUAGGGAUAUGCAAUUCUAUGGUUGACGUCAUACUUAGCAAGCGUUUUACGAAAAACACCAUGAAUAAAAUGUGAACCACCAUCAGUCAUCACAUAUCUAGGGACUCCAAAUCUAGGGAAAAUAACUUCUUCAAGCAUCCUAAUAGAGGUGUUGUGAUCAACACUACUAGUUGGGAUAGCUUCUACCCACUUAGUAACGUAAUCAACAGCAACUAGAAUAUGAGUAUACCUGUUAGACUUUGGAAAAGGUCCCAUAUAAUCAAAACCCCAAACAUCAAAUGGUUCAAUAACAAGUGAAUAAUUCAUAGGCAUUUCCUGACGUUUACUGAUAUUACCUAUUCUUUGACAUUCACGACAAGACAAGACAAACUUACGAGCAUCCUUGAAGAGAGUAGGCCAAUAGAAACCGGAUUGCAAUACCUUGUGUGCAGUUCUAUCUCCCACAUGGUGUCCUCCGUAAGCCUCGGAGUGACACUUCUGUAGGAUCUGUCCCUGUUCAUGCUCAGGUACACAACGUCUAAUAACACCAUCUACUCCUUCUUUAUAAAGGUGAGGAUCAUCCCAAAAUUAAUGUCUCAAGUCAAAGAAGAAUUUCUUCUUUUGUUGGUAUGUGAAACUAGGUGGUAUAUAUUUGGCAACAAUAUAAUUUUCAUAACCAGCAUACCAAGGUGUACUACGUGAAGCAUUGAUGACAUUCAGUUGUUCAUCUGGAAAGCUAUCACCAAUAGGUUGUGGGUCAUCAAGAACAUUCUCCAACCUAGACAAGUUAUCUUCUACGGGGUUCUCAACACCCUUCCUAUCAACAACAUGCAAAUCAAAUUCUUGUAGCAAGAGAACCCAUCUGAUAAGUCUAGGUUUAGCAUCUUUCUUUUCCAUGAGAUACUUAAUAGCAGCAUGAUCAGUGUGAAUAGUAACUUUGGAAUCAACAAUGUAAGAUCUGAACUUUUCACAUGCAAACACGACUGCUAAAAAUUCCUUUUCAGUAGUAGCAUAGUUUCUUUGGGCACUGUCUAGAGUUUUACUAGCAUAAUAAAUAACAUUCAAUUUCUUAUAAAUUCUUUAUCCUAGAACAACACCAACAACAUAAUCACUAGCAUCACACAUAAUUUGAAAAGGUAGGUUCCAAUCAGGUGGUUGAACAAUAGGUGCAGUUAUCAAGGCCUUCUUAAGUAUUUCAAAUGCUUCCUCACAAUCAUCGUCAAAAACAAAAGGAAUAUCUUUUUGCAAGAAAUUGGUAAGAGGCCUAGAAAUCUUAGAGAAGUCCUUAAUGAACCUUCUAUAGAAACCAGCAUGACCAAGGAAACUUCUUAUACCUUUAAUGUCUGUAGGGCAUGGCAUUUUCUUGAUCGCAUCAACUUUAGCCUUAUCAACUGAUACGUCUCCAACGUAUCUAUAAUUUUUGAUGGUUUCAUGCUAUUAUCUUGUCAAACUUUGGAUGUUUUGCAUGCCUUUUGUAUAUAUUUUUGGGACUAACUUAUUAACUCAGUGUCAAGUGCGAGUUCGUAUUUUUUCCAUGUUUUUGACCCCUUUCAGAGGAGGAUUUUGAACGGAGUCCAAAUGAAACGAAACUGCCAAAAAGAUUUUUUCCGAAACAGAAAAAGAUCGGGAAGCCUGAGAAUCAGGGCACGGGGCCUGCAGGGACCCCACAAGCCCCCUAGCCGCGGCCAGGGGGGCCCGCGCCUCCCUGGCUUGUGGGCUCCCUGGGCCACCUCUGCCCUAGGGCUUUCGCCCAUAAAUUCCCUAAAAUCCCAGAAAAAUCAGGAGAUCAUCGAAAGUACUUUUCCGCCGCCGCAAGCUUCUGUCUCCGCAAGAUCCUAUCUACGGCACAUUCUGGUGCCCUGUUGGAGGGGUGAUUCGGAUACGGAGGGCUUCUUCAUCAACACAAUGACUCCGAUGAUGUGUGAGUAGUUCACCAUAGACCUACGAGUCCAUAGCUAGUAUAUAGAUGGCUUCUUCUUUCUCUUGGAUCUUCAAUACAAAGUUCUCCAUGAUCUUCAUGGAGAUCUAUCCGAUGUAAUCUUCUUUUGCGGUGUGAUUGUCGAGAUCCGAUGAAUUGUGGAUUUAUGAUCAGAUUAUCUAUGAAUCUUAUUUGAGUUUCUUCUGGUCUCUCUUAUGCAUGAUUUCAUAUCCUUGUAAUUCUCUUCGAGUUGUGGGUUUUGUCUAGCCAACUAGAUCUAUGGUUCUUGCAAUGGGAGAAGUGCUUGGUUUUGGGUUCAUACCGUGCGGUGACUGUUGGGGAACGUCGCAUGGGAAACAAAAAAUUUCCUACGCACACGAAGACCUAUCAUGGUGAUGUCCAUCUACGAGAGGGGAUAUUCGAUCUACAUACCCUUGUAGAUCGCACAGCAGAAGCGUUAGUGAACACGGUUGAUGUAGUGGAACGUCCUCACAUCCCUCGAUCCGCCCCGCGAACCGUCCCGCGAUCAGUCCCACAAUCUAGUGCCAAACGGACGGCACCUCCGCGUUCAGCACACGUACAGCUCGACGAUGAUCUCGGCCUUCUUGAUCCAGCAAGAGAGACGGAGAGGUAGAUGAGUUCUCCGGCAGCGUGACGGCGCUCCGGAGGUUGGUGGUGAUCUUAUCUCAGCAGGGCUCCGCCCGAGCUCCGCAGAAACGCGAGCUAGAGGUAAAACCGUGGAGAUAUGUGGUCGGGCUGCCGUGGCAAAGUUGUCUCAAAUCAGCCCUAAAACCUCCGUAUAUACAGGGGGAAGAGGGGGAGACUUGCCUUGGGGUCCAAGGACCCCCAGGGGGUUCGGCCGAGCCAAAGGGGGUAACCCUCCCCUUCCAAACCGAGUCCAACUAGGUUUGGAAGGAGGAGUCCUUCCCCCUUUUCCCACCUCCUCUUUUUUUUUCUCUUUGAUUUUCUUCCUAUGGCGCAUAGGGCCUUCUUGGGCUGUCCCACCAGCCCACUAAGGGCUGGUGCGCCACCCCCAAGGCCUAUGGGCUUCCCCGGGGUGGGUUGCCCCCCCCCCCCGGUGAACACCCGGAACCCAUUCGUCAUUCUCGGUACAUUCCCGGUAACUGCGAAAUCCUUCUGGUAAUCAAAUGAGGUCAUCCUAUAUAUCAAUCUUCGUUUCCGGACCAUUCCGUAAACCCUCGUGACGUCCGUGAUCUCAUCCGGGACUCCGAAGAACAUUCGGUAACCAACCAUAUAACUCAAAUACGCAUAAAACAACGUCGAACCUUAAGUGUGCAGACCCCGCGGGUUCGAGAACUAUGUAGACAUGACCCGAGAGACUCCUCGGUCAAUAUCCAAUAGCGGGACCUGGAUGCCCAUAUUGGAUCCUACAUAUUCUACGAAGAUCUUAUCAUUUGAACCUCAGUGCCAAGGAUUCAUAUAAUCCCGUAUGUCAUUCCCUUUGUCCUUCGGUAUGUUACUUGCCCGAGAUUCGAUCGUCAGUAUCCGCAUACCUAUUUCAAUCUCGUUUACCGGCAAGUCUCUUUACUCGUUCCGUAAUACAAGAUCCCGCAACUUACACUAAGUCACAUUGCUUGCAAGGCUUGUGUGUGAUGUUGUAUUAUCGAGUGGGCCCCGAGAUACCUCUUCGUCACAUGGAGUGACAAAUCCCAGUCUUGAUCCAUACUAACUCAACGAACACCUUCGGAGAUACCUGUAGAGCAUCUUUAUAGUCACCCAGUUAUGUUGCGACGUUUGAUACACACAAAGCACUCCUCCGGUGUGAGUGAGUUAUAUGAUCUCAUGGUCAUAGGAACAAAUACUUGACACGUAGAUAACAGUAGCAACUAAAUGACACGAUCAACAUGGUACGUCUAUUAGUUUGGGUCUAGUCCAUCACAUGAUUCUCCUAAUGAUGUGAUCCCGUUAUCAAGUGACAACACUUGCCUAUGGUCAGGAAACCUUGACCAUCUUUGAUCAAUGAGCUAGUCAACUAGAGGCUUUACUAGGGACAGUGUUUUGUCUAUGUAUCCACACAUGCACUGUGUUUCCAAUCAAUACAAUUAUAGCAUAGAUAAUAAACGAUUAUCAUGAACUAAGAAAUAUAAUAAUAACUAAUUUAUUAUUGCCUCUAGGGCAUAUUUCCAACAGUCUCCCACUUGCACUAGAGUCAAUAAUCUAGUUCACAUCACCAUGUGAUUCCAACGAAUCCAACACCCAUAUAGUUAUGGGGUCUGAUCACGUCUUGCUCGUGAGAGAGGUUUCAGUCAACGGUUCUGAAACUUUCAGAUCCGUGUGUUCUUUACAAAUCUUUAUGUCAUCUUAUAGAUGCUGCUACUAUGUGCUAUUCGGAAAUGCUCCAAAUAUCUACUCUACUAUACGAAUCCGUUUCACUACUCAUAGUUAUUCGGAUUAGUGUCAAAGCUUGCAUCGACGUAACCCUUUACGACGAACUCUUUAACCACCUCCAUAAUCGAGAAAAAUUCCUUAGUCUAUUCAGUUACUAAGGAUAACUUUGACCGCUGAUCAGUGAUUCAAUCCUGGAUCACUAUGUGUACCUCUUAACAGACUUGCUGCAAGGCACACAGUCAGGUGCGGUACUCAGCAUGGCAUACUUUAGAGUCUACGGCUAAGGCAUAGAAGGCGACCUUCGUCUAUUCUCUUUAUUCUGCCGAGGUCGGGUUUUGAGUCUUACUCAAAUUUACGCCUUACAACGCAACCAAGAACUCCUUCUUUGUUGAUCUAUUUUGAACUCCUUCAAAAACUUGUCAAGGCAUGCACCUUGUUGAAACUUCUAUUAAGCGCUUUCGAUCUAUCUCCAUAGAUCUUUGAUGCUCAACGUUCAAGUAGCUCAACCCAGAUAUUCCUUUGAAAAACUCCUUUCAAACAACCUUUUAUGCUUCACAGAAAUUCUACAUUACUUCUGAUCCAUAAUAUGUCAACCACAUAUGCUUAUCAGAAAUUCUAUAGUGCUCCCACUCACUUCUUUGGAAAUACAAGUUUCUCAUAAACCUUGUACAAACCCAAAAUCUUUGAUCAUCUCAUCAAAGUGUAUAUUCCAACUCCGAGAUGCUUGCACCAGUCCAUUGAAGGAUCACUGGAGCUUGCAUACUAGCUAGUAUCUUUAGGAUCGACAAAACCUCCUGGUUGUAUCACAUACAAUGUUUGCUCAAGGAAACCGUCGAGGAAACAAUGUUUUGACAUCCUACGUGCAAUAUUUCAUAAAUAAUGCAGCAACUACUAACAUAAUUCUAAUAGACUUUUAGCAUCACUACGAGUGACAAAGUCUCAUCAUAGUCAACUGUUUGAACUUGUCGGAAACAUCUUUGCGACAAGUCGAGCUUUUCUUAAUAGUGACUUAUCACCAUCAUCGUCUGUCUUCCUUUUAAAGAUCCAUCUUUACUCAAUAGUCCUAUGACCAUCAAGUAGUUCUUCCAAAGUCAACACUUUGUUUUCAUACAUGGAUCCUCUCUCGGAUUUCAUGGCUUCCAGCCAUUUGUCGGAAUCCGGGCCCACCAUUGCUUUCUCCAUAACUUGUAGGUUCAUUGUUGCUCAACAACAUGACCUCCAAGACAGGGUUACCGUACCACUCUGCAGUAGUACGCGACCUUGUCAACCUACGAGGCUUGUAGUAACUUGAUCCGAUGCUCGAUGAUCACCAUCAUCAGCUUUCACUUCAAUUGGUGUAGGCGCCACGGGAACAACUUCCUGCGCCCUGCUACACACUGGUCGAAGUGAUAGUUCAAUAACCUCAUCAAGUUCUACCACCCUCCCACUCAAUUCUUUCGAGAGAAACCUUUCCUCGAGAAAGGAUCCGUUUCUAGAAACAAACACUUUGCUUUCGGAUCUGAGAUAGGAGAUGUACCCAACUGUUUUGGAUAUCCUAUGAAGAUGCAUUUAUCCGCUUUUGGGUUCGAGCUUAUCAGACUGAAACUUUUUCACAUAAGUGUCGAAGCCCCAAACUUUCAAGAAACGACAGUUUAGAUUUCUCUAAACCUCAGUCUAUACUAUGUCAUCUCAACGGAAAUAUGCGGUGCCCUAUUUAAAGUGAAUGCAGUUGUCUCUAAUGCAUAACCCAUAAACGAUAGUGGUAAUUCGAUAAGAGACAUCACAACAUGCACCAUACCAAAUAGUGCGUGGCUAUGACGUUCAGACACAUCAUCACACUAUGAUGUUCCAGGUGGCAUGAACUGCGAAACAAUUUCCACAUUGUCUUAACUGCGUACCAAAACUCGUAACUCAGAUAUUCAUUUCUAUGAUCAUAUCGUAGACAGUUUAUCCUCUUGUUACGACGAACUUCACUCCGAAACAGAAUUGAACUUUUCAAUAUUUCAGACUUGUGAUUCAUUAAGUAAAUACUCUUGUAUCUGCUCAAAUCGUCAUUGAAGUAAGAACAUAAUGAUAUCCACUGCGCGCCUCAGCACCCAUUGGACUGCAUACAUCAAAAUGUAUCACUUCCAACAAGUUACUAUCUUGUUUCAUCUCAAUGAAAACAAGGCCUUGCUCAUGUGGUAUGAUUUGCAUGUCACUAGUGAUUCAAAAUCAAGUGAGUAUAAAGAUCCAUCAGCAUGGAGCCUCUUCAUGCAAUUUAUACCAACAUGACUCAAGCGGCAGUGCCACAAGUAAGUAGUACUAUCAUCAUUACCUCGUAUCUUUUGGCACCAAUAUCAUGAACAUGUGUAACACUACGAUCGAGAUUCAAUAAACCAUUGAAGGUGAUUAUUCAAGCAAAUAGAGUAACCAUUAUUCUCUUUAAAUGAAUAACCGUAUUGCAAUAAACACGAUCCAAUAAUGUUCAUGCUUAACGCAAGCACCAAAUAACAAUUAUUUCGGUUUAACACCAAUUCCGAUGGUAGAGGGAGCGUGCGACGUUUUGAUCAUAUCAAUCUUGGAAACACUUCCAACACGCAUCGUCACCUCGCCUUUAGCUAGUCUCCGUUUAUGCCGUAGCUAUCAUUUCGUGUUACUAAUAACUUAGCAACCGAACCGGUAUCCAAUACCCUCAUGCUACUAGGAGUACUUGUAAAGUACACAUCAACAUCAUGUAUAUCAAAUAUACUUCUUUUGACUUUUGCCAGCCUUCUUAUCUACCAAGUAUCUAGAGUUGCUCCCCCUCAGUGACUAUUCCCCUCAUUACAGAAGCACUUAGUCUCGGGUUUGGGUUUAAUUUUGGGUCUCUUCAUUAGUGCAGCAACUGUUUUGCCGUUUCACGAAGUAUCCCUUCUAGCCGUUGCCUUUCUUGAAACUUAGUGGUUUUACUAACCAUCAACUAUUGAUGCUCCUUCUUGAUUUCUACUUUCGCAGUGUCAAACAUCGUGAAUCGCUCAAGGAUCAUUGUAUCUAUCCUUGAUAUGUUAUAGUUCAUCACGAAGCUCUCACAGCUUGGUGGCAGUGACUUUGGAGAACCAUCACUAUCUCAUCUGGAAGAUUAACUCCCACUUGAUUCAAGCGAUUGUCGUACUCAGACAAUCUGAGCACACGCUCAACGAUUGAGCUUUUCUCCUUUACUUUGUGGACAAAGAAUCUUGUUGGAGGUCUCGUACCUCUUAACAAGGGCACAAGCAUAAAAUCACAAUUUCAUCUCUUUAGAACAUCACUUAUGUUCCGUGACGUUUUAAAACGUUUUCGGCCCCUUGCUUCUAAGCCAUUAAGUAUUUUGCACUGAACUAUCGUGUAGUCAUCAGAAACGUGUAUGUCGGAUGUUCACAGCAUCCACAGACGACGCUCGAGGUGCAGCACACCGAGUGGUGCAUUAGGGACAUAAGCCUUCUGCGCAACAACGAGGACAAUCCUCGGUUUUACAGACUUAGUCUGCAAAGUUUUCUACUAUCAACUUUCAACUAAAUUUUCUCUAGGAACAUAUAAAAACAGUAGAGCUAUAGCGCAAGCUACAUCGUAAUUCGCAAAGACCAUUAGACUAUGUUCAUGACAAUUAGUUCAAUUAAUCAUAUUACUUAAGAACUCCCACUCAAAAAGUACAUCUCUCUAGUCAUUUGAGUGGUACAUGAUCCAAAUCCACUAUCUCAAGUCCGAUCAUCACGUGAGUCGAGAAUAGUUUCAGUGAUAAGCAUCUCUAUGCUAAUCAUAUCAACUAUACGAUUCAUGCUCGACCUUUCGGUCUCAUGUGUUCCGAGGCCAUGUCUGCACAUGCUAGGCUUGUCAAGCUUAACCCGAGUGUUCCGCGUGUGCAACUGUUUUGCACCCGUUGUAUGUGAACGUUGAGUCUAUCACACCCGAUCAUCACGUGGUGUCUCGAAACGAAGAACUGUCGCAACGGUGCACAGUCGGGGAGAACACAAUUUCGUCUUGAAAUUUUAGUGAGAGAUCACCUCAUAAUGCUACCGUCGUUCUAAGCAAGAUAAGGUGCAUAAAGGAUUAACAUCACAUGCAAUUCAUAAGUGACAUGAUAUGGCCAUCAUCAUGUGCUUCUUGAUCUCCAUCACCAAAGCACCGGCACGAUCUUACUGUCACCGGCGUCACACCAUGAUCUCCAUCAUCAUGAUCUCCAUCAACGUGUCGCCAUCGGGGUUGUCGUGCUACUCAUGCUAUUACUACUAAAGCUACGUCCUAGCAAUAUAGUAAACGCAUCUGCAAGCACAAACAUUAGUUUAAAGACAACCCUAUGGCUCCUGUCGGUUGUCGUACCAUCGACGUGCAAGUCGAUAUUAACUAUUACAACAUGAUCAUCUCAUACAUCCAAUAUAUCACAUCACAUCGUUGGCCAUAUCACAUCACAAGCAUACUGUGCAAAAACAAGUUAGACGUCCUCUAAUUUUGUUGUUGCAUGUUUUACGUGGUGACCAUGGGUAUCUAGUAGGAUCGCAUCUUACUUACGCAAACACCACAACGGAGAUAUAUGAGUUGCUAUUUAACCUCAUCCAAGGACCUCCUCGGUCAAUUCUGAUUCAACUAAAGUUGGAGAAACUGACACUUGCCAGUCAUCUUUGAGCAACGGGGUUACUCGUAGCGAUGAAACCAGUCUCUCGUAAGCGUACGAGUAAUGUCGGUCCAAGCCGCUUCAAUCCAACAAUACCGCGGAAUCAAGAAAAGACUAAGGAGGGCAGCAAAACGCACAUCACCGCCCACAAAAACUUUUGUGUUCUACUCGAGAAGACCUCUACGCAUGAACCUAGCUCAUGAUGCCACUGUUGGGGAACGUCGCAUGGGAAACAAAAAUUUUCCUACGCACACGAAGACCUAUCAUGGUGAUGUCCAUCUACGAGAGGGGAUAUUCGAUCUACGUACCCUUGUAGAUCACACAGCAGAAGCGUUAGUGAACGCGGUUGAUGUAGUGGAACGUCCUCACGUCCCUCGAUCCGCCCCGCGAACCGUCCCGCGAUCAGUCCCACGAUCUAGUGCCGAACGGACGGCACCUCCGCGUUCAGCACACGUAUAGCUCGACGAUGAUCUCGGCCUUCUUGAUCCAGCAAGAGAGACGGAGAGGUAGAUGAGUUCUCCGGCAGCGUGAUGGCACUCUGGAGGUUGGUGGUGAUCUUAUCUCAGCAGGGCUCCGCCCGAGCUCCAUAGAAACGCGAUCUAGAGGUAAAACCGUGGAGAUAUGUGGUCGGGCUGCCGUGGCAAAGUUGUCUCAAAUCAGCCCUAAAACCUCCGUAUAUAUAGAGGGAAGAGGGGGAGCCUUGCCUUGGGGUCCAAGGACCCCCAAGGGGUUCGGCCGAGCCAAAGGGGGGAACCCUCCCCUUCCAAACCGAGUCCAACUAGGUUUGGAAGGAGGAGUCCUUCCCCCUUUUCCCACCUCCUCUUUUUUUUCUUUUCUCUUUGAUUUUCUUCCUAUGGCGCAUAGGGCCUUCUUGGGCUGUCCCACCAGCCCACUAAGGGCUGGUGCGCCACCCCCAAGGCCUAUGGGCUUCCCCGGGGUGGGUUGCCCCCCCCCUGGUGAACACCCGGAACCCAUUCGUCAUUCCCGGUACAUUCCCGGUAACUCCGAAAUCCUUCCGGUAAUCAAAUGAGGUCAUCCUAUAUAUCAAUCUUCAUUUCCGGACCAUUCCGGAAACCCUCAUGACGUCCGUGAUCUCAUCCGGGACUCCGAACAACAUUCGGUAACCAACCAUAUAACUCAAAUACGCAUAAAACAACGUCGAACCUUAAGUGUGCAGACCCUACGGGUUCGAGAACUAUGUAGACAUGACCCGAGAGACUCCUCGGUCAAUAUCCAAUAGCGGGACCUGGAUGCCUAUAUUGGAUCCUACAUAUUAUACGAAGAUCUUAUCGUUUGAACCUCAGUGCCAAGGAUUCAUAUAAUCCCGUAUGUCAUUCCCUUUGUCCUUCGGUAUGUUAAUUGCCCGAGAUUCGAUCGUCAGUAUCCGCAUACCUAUUUCAAUCUCGUUUACCGGCAAGUCUCUUUACUCGUUCCGUAAUACAAGAUCCCGCAACUUACACUAAUUCACAUUGCUUGCAAGGCUUGUGUGUGAUGUUGUAUUACCGAGUGGGCCCCGAGAUACCUCUCCGUCACACGGAGUGACAAAUCCCAGUCUUGAUCCAUACUAACUCAACGAACACCUUCGGAGAUACCUGUAGAGCAUCUUUAUAGUCACCCAGUUACGUUGCAACGUUUGAUACACACAAAGCACUCCUCCGGUGUUAGUGAGUUAUAUGAUCUCAUGGUCAUAGGAACAAAUACUUGACACGCAGAAAACAGUAGCAACAAAAUGACACGAUCAACAUGCUACGUCUAUUAGUUUGGGUCUAGUCCAUCACAUGAUUCUCCUAAUGAUGUGAUCCCGUUAUCAAGUGACAACACUUGCCUAUGGUCAGGAAACCUUGACCAUCUUUUAUCAACGAUCUAGUCAACUAGAGGCUUUACUAGGGACAGUGUUUUGUCUAUGUAUCCACACAUGCACUGUGUUUCCAAUCAAUACAAUUAUAGCAUGGAUAAUAAACGAUUAUCAUGAACUAAGAAAUAUAAUAAUAACUAAUUUAUUAUUGCCUCUAGGGCAUAUUUCCAACAGUGACCUCACCCAGUGAUAGAAGGGGUAGCGAGGCACGCAUCGUGUUGUUGCCAUCAAGGGUAAAAAGAUGGGGUUUUCAUCAUUGGUUUGAGAUUAUCCCUCUACAUCAUGUCAUCUUGCUUAAAGCGUUACUCUGUUCAUCAUGAACUCAAUACACUAGAUGCAUGCUGGAUAGCGGUCGAUGUGUGGAGUAAUAGUAGUAGAUGCAGAAAGUAUCGGUCUACUUGUGUUGGACGUGAUGCCUAUAUGUAUGAUCAUUGCCUUAGAUAUCGUCAUGACUUUGCGCGGUUCUAUCAAUUGCUCGACAGUAAUUUGUUCACCCACCGUAAUAUUUGCUAUUUUGAGAGAAGCCUCUAGUGAACACUAUGGCCCCCGGGUCUACUCCACACCAUAUUUUUAGCCUUACACUUUUACUUCAUUGCCCGCCUUCAUAUCUCACUUUGCAAUCAAUCUUGAAGGGAUUGACAACCCCUUUUAAUCGUUGGGUGCAAGCUCUUUGUGUUUGUGCAGGUACUCUGGACUUGACGAGAUUCUCCUACUAGAUUGAUACCUUGGUUCUCAAACUGAGGGAAAUACUGAUGACCCACAAGUAUAGGGGAUCAAUCGUUGUCCUUUCGAUAAGUAAGGGUGUCGAACCCAACGAGGAGCAGAAGGAUCUGACAAGUGGUUUUCAGCAAGGAAAAAUCUGCAUGCACUGAAAUUGUCGGUAACAAGUGAUUGUGUGGUGAGAUGAUUCGUAGCAAGCAACAAGUAACAAAAGUAGCAACAGUGCAGCAAAGUGGCCCAAUCCCUUUUGUAGCAAGGGACAAGCCUGGACAAAGUCUUAUAGGAGGAAAAACGCUCCUGAGGACACACGGGAAUUUCUGUCAUGCUAGUUUUCAUCAUGUUCAUAUGAUUCACGUUCGUUACUUUGAUAGUUUGAUAUGUGGGUGGACCGGCGCUUGGAUACUGCCCUUACUUGGACAAGCAUCCCAUGUAUGAUUAACCCCUCUCGCAAGCAUCCGCAACUACGAAAGAAGAAUUAAGACAAAGUCUAACCAUAGCAUUAAACUAGUGGAUCCAAAUCAACCCCUUACGAAGUAACGCAUAAACUAGGGUUUAAGCUUCUGUCACUCUAGCAACCCAUCAUCUACUUACUACUUCCCAAUGCCUUCCUCUAGGACCAAAUAAUGGUGAAAUGUUAUGUAGUCGACGUUCACAUAACACCACUAGAGGAAAAACAACAUACAACAUAUCAAAAUACCGAACGAAUACCAAAUUCACAUGACUAUUAUUAGCAUGACUUAUCCCAUGUCCUCGGGAACAAAAGUAACUACUCACAAAGCAUAAUCAUAAUCAUGAUCAGAGGUGUAAUGAGUAGCAUCAAGGAUCUGAAUAUAAUCUCUUCCACCAAAUAAUCCAACUACCAUCAACUACAAAGAGUAAUCAACACUACUAGAAACCUUACAAGUACCAAUCGGAGUCGCGAGACGGAGAUUGGUUACAAGUGAUGAACUAGGGUUUGGAGAUGAGAUGGUGCUAAUGAAGAUGUUGAUGGAGAUGAGUCCCCUCCGAUGAGAGGAGUGUUGGUGAUGACGAUGGCGACGAUUUCCCCCUCCGAGAGGGAAGUUUCCCCGGCAGGAUCGUCCUGCCGGAGCUCUAGAUUGGUUAUGCUCAAGUUCUGCCUCGUGGCGGCGGCGAAACCAAGAAAAAGCUCCCUUCCCAUUUUUUCCUGGUCGAAACCCUCCAUAUAGCAAAAGAGGGGGGCAAGUGGGCCAGCAGGGUGCCCACAAGCCCCCAUGGCGUGGCCUGGGGGGGGGGUGGUCGCGCCGUGCAGGCUUGUGGCCACCCCCUGGCGCUCCUCUGGCACUUCUUCGUCCUAGUAUUUUUUAUAUAUUGGUAAAAAAUCUCCGUUGAUUUUCACGACGUUUGGAGUUGCGCAGAAUAGGUAUCUCAACUUUGCUCCACUUUCAUGCGAGAAUUCCAAUUGUCGGUAUUCUCCCUCUUCAUGUAAACCUUAUAAAAUAAGAUAGAAAAGGCAUAAGAAUAGUAUCGUGAAGUGAAAUAAUAGCCAAAGAAGCGAUAAAUAUCAAAGUGAAAACAUGAUGCAAAAUGGACGUAUCAACUCCGCCAAGCUUAGACCUCGCUUGUCCUCAAGCGAAAGCCGAGCUCAAUAAAUAUGUCCACAUGUUUAGGGAGAGAGGUGUCGACAAAACAAGAUACGAACAUGCAUGCAUCAUGAUCAUGAUCAGAACAGCAAUACAAACAUAUAAUCUCUCAUGCUAAAGUGAUAAUUCCUUCACAAAGUAAUACAUGGAUCAAGAACCUUACCGAGAAGUAACAACCGAUAGCCUUUAGUCAUUGAAGCAAUUCUAAUUUAUCACAACAUUAGAAAGAGUCAAAUAAGAGCUUGUAAAGAAAAUCCACAUACUCAAUCAUUCUUUCGUUCUCUACAAUUGCUACAACUCACGUGGUACUCAUGAGAUCAAAGUUUCAGCUGAACACAGAGAAAGAUAGGGGCUUAUAUUUGCCUCCCAACUGCUUACCUCAAGGGUAAUGUCAACAAUAAUAAUUCAUGAAUACUUACCUCCAAGUUGACAUAUGAAUAUAGAUCUUUCCCAAGCAUGUGACGGUAGCCAAGACAAAGGCAAAAUAAGCAAUUGGUGAAGAUCACCAUGACUCUUUCAAGGGCAAAAAAGUAAAAGUACAAGAUAGGCCCUUCGCAGAGGGAAGCAGAGGUUGUCAUGCGCUUUUGAGGUUUGGAUGCAUGUCCUCUUAGUGCAGAGGAACGUCACUUUAUAUUGCCCCCUGUGAUAAAGAACUUUAUUAUGCAGUCUGUCACUUUUAUGUCUUCCUCAUCACAGGUUCGUAUAAAGCUUAUUUUCCACACACUAAUAGAUCAUACAUAUUAGAGAGAAAUUUUAUUGCUUGCACCGAUGACAACUUACUUGAGGGAUCUUAUUCAAUCCAUAGGUAGGUAUGGUGGACACUCAUGGCAAAACUGGUUUGAAGGUUUACGGAUGCACAAGUAGUAUCUCUACUUAGUGCGGGAGUUUUGGCUAAUGUGAGGUGGAACCAAUCGUCACAUGCUAAGAGAUCUCUAAUCAUAUAGCAUUGUUCAGAGCCAAGCAAACACAAUCCAUUACGUUGUCUUCCUUGUCCAACAUCUACUUCUACGCAUGUAAUAGUUUAGUGAGUGUUCACAAUCAUAGGUGGUGUGAGAGAUGAUAUAUUUAUAUGUGAACCUCUCCUUCUUUAUCACUUCCUAUUAAUUGCAACAAUGACCAAGGUCUACGUUUGCCUACCCUCAACAAGUUUCAAUCCUCAUUCUUUUUAUAUGUGAAGCCAUCACUUCCCAUAAGAUCAUUACAUGAUCUUUCAUGCUUUUGUUCUAUUCUCACUCUUUGAUCAUGGCAAGAGGCAAAGCCCUUCAACUAAGACACUCUUUAUUAUAAGGCUCACGAGCAAGAAUACAUCGGGGAUGACACAAGGCAAAACUCAAGACUAAAACACUAAUACUUUACUUCACUAGAAAAGAGAAAACUGAAAAGGAAAACUAAAACAAAGGUAAAAGCAAAAGAUGUGAUGGUGAUACGAUACCGGGGCAACUCCCCCAAGCUUGGCAAAAGCCAAGGGGAUUGCCCAUACCAAUGCUAAGUUGUCUUCCUUUGGUGGUGAUGGUGGAGUUGUUGCAACAUGAGUUUGAUCCUCCGUCUUCCAAGGCAUAGGUGCUCCAUCAUGGAAGGAUGAACGAGUCGCCGGAAUCCCCAAAUCUGCAGCCAACCGUAUUGAUUUAAAUCUAUACUCAUACUCACAGUUUUGGUUCUGCAGGUCAUAGAUCUGGCCCUGGAGUUGAUCAACCCUGUCAUAGAGACCGGAGAGGUGCUUCUCAAUGUCAUUGGCAUCCAUCUUGUGCUUGUUGGUGAACUUCGUGAUCAUCAUGUGGUUGGCAUUGAGUCCACGCUCCAUCAUCCCUUGACACUUGAAGACUUAUUGCUCCAUUGCUUCGAGCCUCGUCUCCAUGCUUCCGGUCUUCUUAGGCCCCUCAACAUCACGGAUGUGCAACAUCCCCUCAGGCAUCCCAGUAGAUUGAGGGUGUUGCAGCACUUCCGUGAGGUAGGGAUUGAUGACCUUCUCGAAGAUCUUGUCCUUAGGAGCUUUUGGGGAAGUCAUGGCGAUCUAGAUCUGCAACAGAAACAGGCUCGAAACGAAAAACAGAGGAAAUCUGCGUGAUACGGGAUCAAACCAAACGAAAGUAUAUAUAAUGAUUUUUUUCAGACCAGAAGGAGUCCCCUGCACAAAAACGGAGUCCGGGAGGCGCAUGAGGUGGCCACAAGCCCUCACGGCAUGGCCAGGGGGUGGGACCGCGCCGUGCACGCUUGUCGCCUCAUCAUGCACUAUCCUGACUACUUCCAUUUUUUGUAUUUUUUCAAAUAUUCCAAAACGGAGAAAAUUUCCUAUUGGAAAAGUUUUGGACUCUGAUUUCUUACCAAAACACAUACCUCUUCGUUUUCGGAGUCUGAAACAGGCUGAUAAAUAUCCCUUAGGUAUUCUUCCGGAGUUAUGGUAUUGAUGAUAUUGCUUUCAACAUUUAUGGGAGUACGUGAGAUAUAAUGCUUGAUUCUCUGCCCAUUUACCACUCUCAGACAAUUACCUUCCGUGUUGUUGAUCUUGAUAGCACCGGAACGAUAUACUUCCUCAACAACAUAGGGACCUUCCCAUUUAGAGAGAAGCUUGCCUGCAAAGAAUCUUAAACGAGAGUUAUAUAGCAAGACAUAAUCACCUACAUUGAACUCACGCUUUUGUAUCCUCUUAUCAUGCCACCUCUUAACCUUCUCUUUGAAGAGCUUGGCAUUCUCAUAUGCUUGGGUUCUCCACUCAUCAAGCGAGCUAAUGUCAAAUAACCUCUUCUCACCGGCAAGUUUGAAAUCAAAGUUGAGGUCUUUGAUUGGCCAAUAAGCUUUAUGCUCUAGCUCAAGAGGUAAGUGACAUGCUUUACCGUACACCAUUUUGUACGGAGACGUGCCCAUGGGAUUCUUAUAGGAAGUUCUAUAAGCCCACAGUGCAUCAUCGAGCUUCUUAGACCAAUUCUUUCUAGACCUGUUGACAGUCUUUUGCAGAAUUAGUUUAAUCUCUCUGUUGCUUAGCUCUACUUGACCACUGGACUGAGGGUGGUAGGGAGACGCAAUUCUAUGGUUGACAUCGUACUUAGCAAGCGUUUUACGGAAAGCACCAUGAAUGAAGUGUGAACCACCGUCAGUCAUCAGAUAUCUAGGGACUCCAAAUCUGGGGAAGAUAACUUCUUUCAGCAUCUUGAUAGAGGUGUUGUGAUCAGCACUACUAGUAGGGAUAGCUUCUACCCACUUAGUGACGUAAUCAACAGCAACCAAGAUGUGAGUAUACCCACUGGAUUUUGGAAAAGGUCCCAUAUAAUCAAAGCCCCAAACAUCAAAUGGUUCAAUGACAAGUGAAUAGUUCACAGGCAUUUUCUGACGUUUGCUAAUAUUACCUAUUCUUUGACAUUCGUCACAAGACAAGACAAACUUACGGGUAUCCUUGAAGAGAGUGGGCCAAUAGAAACCUGAUUGCAAUACCUUGUGUGCAGUUCUGUCUCCUGCAUGGUGUCCUCCGUAGGCCUCGGAGUGACACUUCUGUAGGAUCUUCCCUGCUCAUGUUCAGGUACACAACAUCUAAUAACACCAUCUACUCCUUCCUUAUAAAGGUGGGGAUCAUCCAAAAGUAGUGUCUCAAGUCAAAGAAGAACUUUUUCUUUUGCUGGUACGUGAAACUAGGUGGUAUGUAGUUGGCAACGAUAUAGUUUGCAUAAUCAGCAUACCACGAUGCACUACAUGAAGCAUUGAUGACAUUCAAUUGCUCAUCGGGAAAGCUAUCAUCAAUAGGUUGUGGGUCAUCAGGAACAUUCUCCAACCUAGACAAGUUAUCUGCUACUGGGUUAUCAGCACCCUUUCUGUCAACAACGUGCAGAUCAAAUUCUUGUAGCAAGAGAACCCAUCUGAUAAGUCUAGGUUUAGCGUCCUUCUUCUCCAUGAGGUACUUAAUAGCAGCGUGAUCAGUGUGAAUAAUGACUUUGGAAUCAACAAUGUAAGACCUGAACUUUUGAUACGCAAACACGACUUCUAAAAAUUCCUUCUCUGUAGUAGCAUAGUUUCUGUGGACACUGUCUAGAGUUUUACUAGCGUAGUGAAUAACAUUCAACUUCUUAUCAACUCUUUGCCCUAGAACAACACCAACAGCAUAAUCACUAGCGUCACACAUGAUCUCAAAAGGCAAGUUCCAAUCAGGUGGUUGAACAAUAGGUGCAGUUAUCAAAGCCCUCUUAAGUAUUUCGAAGGCUUCCUCACAAUCAUCGUCAAAAACAAAAGGAAUAUCUUUUUGCAAGAUAUUGGUAAGAGGCCUAGAAAUCAUAGAGAAGUCUUUGAUGAACCUUCUAUGGAAACCAGCAUGACCAAGGAAACUUCUUAUCCCUCUGAUAUCUGUGGGGUAUGGCAUUUUCUCGAUUGCAUCAACCUUUGCCUUAUCGACUUCAAUACCUCUUUCGGAAAUUUUAUGUCCUAAGACGAUGCCUUCAUUAACCAUAAAAUGGCACUUCUCCCAAUUCAAGACAAGAUUGGUGUCUUUACAUCUCUGCAAGACCCGAUCAAGGUUGAUGAGGCAAUCAUCAAAGGAAGACCCGUAAACGGAGAAGUCAUCCAUGAAAACCUCAACAAUCUUUUCACAAAAGUCAAAGAAUAUAGCCAUCAUACAUCUUUGAAAGGUGGCAGGUGCAUUACAUAAGCCAAAAGGCAUACGUCUAUAAGCAAAGUUACCGAAAGGGCAGGUGAAAGUGGUUUUCUCCUGAUCAGAUUGUGCAACUGGUAUUUGGGAGAAACCAGAAUAACCAUCUAGAAAGCAGAAGUGUGUGUGUUUGGAUAGUCUUUCUAGCAUUUGGUCGAUAAAAGGCAGCGGGUAAUGAUCUUUCCUAGUGGCCUUAUUCAACUUCCUAAAAUCAAUCACCAUCCUAUAGCCAGUAAUAAUCCUCUGUGGGAUCAACUCAUCCUUAUCACUAGGGACAACGGUAAUGCCUCCUUUCUUAGGAACGGAAUGCACCGGACUCACCCAAUCGCUAUGAGCAACAGGAUAGAUAAUACCCGCUUCUAGGAGCUUUGUAUUUCUUUUCUCACUACUUCUUUCAUCUUAGGAUUCAAUCUCCUUUGAUGAUCAGAAACUGGUUUGAAUUCAGGAUCAGUUUUGAUCUUGUGCUGGCAUAGAGUGGGACUAAUGCCCUUAAGAUCAUCAAGAGUAUAUCCUAUAGCAGCACGGUGCUCCCUCAGAGUUUUUAGUAACUUAUUUUCUUCCUGCUCUGAGAGGCUAGCACUAAUAAUAACAGGAUAUAUCUCCUUUUCAUCAAGAUAGGCAUACUUAAGAGUAUCAGGCAAGUGUUUAAGCUCGAACACAGGAUCACCCUUUGGUGGAGGUGGAUCCCCAAGCAGUUCAACAGGCAGAUUAUUCUUAAGGAUAGGAUAUUGUUCUAAGACAACUCUAUCUAUUUCAUCCCAUUCAUCCAUAUGCAUAUCAUUUUGAUUCUCAAGCAAGUAUUGCUCUAAGGGAUCAGUAGGAGGCAAGGCAAUAGAAGCUAAGGCAAUAGUUUCAUCCCUACUAGGCAACUCCUUUUCAUGAGGUUGUCUACCGAACUUAGAGAAAUUGAACUCAUGUGACACUCCUUCAAAGCCAACAGUGACAGUUUGCUUCUCACAAUCAAUAUGAGCAUUGAAAGUGUUGAGAAAAGGUCUACCAAAUAUGAUGGGACAAAAGCUAUCUUGAGCGGUAGCAAGAACGAGGAAAUCAGGAGGAUACUUCGUUUUACCACACAAGACUUCAACAUCCCUAACAAUUCCCACAGGGCAGAUAGUAUCUCUAUUGGCAAGCAGGAUAGUGACAUCUAUAGGUUCUAUGUCAACAGGUGCAAUCUCAUCUUUGAAUUCAUCGUAUAAGGAUUGAGGUAUUGCACUGACACUAGCACCCAAGUCACAUAAACCAUGAUAACAAUGAUCUCCUAUCUUAACAGAAACUACACGCAUGCCAACAACAUGCCUAUGCUUGUCUCUAACGCGAGGUUUAGCAAUUCUAGCAGCAUCUUCACAAAAGUGAAUAUUAUGUCCCUCAACUUCUUCAGACAGAAGAUCUUUGAUAAUAGCAAUGCUAGGUUCAACUCUAAUUUGCUCAGGGGGUGUAGGUGUUCUAAUGUAGCCUCUACGUAUCAUAGUUGAAGCUUUAGAAUGAUCCUUUAUCCUAACAAGGAAAGGUGGUUUCUCAAUGUAAGCACUGGGAACCACAGGAUCAUUAUAGGCAAUGACUUUCUCUUCAACUGGAGUGGGUUUAACUACAUUGACUUCUAUGGGAGGAUGAUAUUUAAACCACUUCUCUUUGGGGAGAUCAAUAUGAGCAGCAAAAUAUUCACGCAAUGAAGCUACUAUCUUAGAGUCAAGUCCAUACUUAGCGCUAAAGUCACAAAAAGUAUUUGUCUCAACAAAGGAUUUAACGCAAUCAAAAGUGAAAUUCAUACCUGACUCCUUAACUUCUUCAAGCUCCCAAUCUUCAGAGUUGCGUUUAAUUCUGUCCAAUAAAUUCCACUUGAAGUCAAUAUCUCUCUUCAUAAAAGAACCGGUACAAGAAGUGUCAAGCAUGGUGCGAUCAUCAUGAGAAAGCCGAGCAUAGAAGUUCUGAAUGAUAAUUUCUCUCGAGAGCUCAUGAUUGGGGCAUGAAUAUAGAAUUGAUUUAAGCCUCCCCCAAGCUUGAGCGAUGCUUUCUCUGUCACGAGGCCAAAAUUAUAAAUAUAAUUCUGAUCACGAUGUACUAAAUGCAUAGGAUAAAACUUUUGAUGAAAUUCCAAUUUCAACCGAAUGUAGUCCCAUGAUCCAGUAUCAUCACAUAGCCUAUACCAUGUCAACGCCUUAUCCUUCGAAGAUAAAGGAAAUACCUUCUUCUUGACCUCAUCCUCGGGCACACCUGCAAGCUUAAAUAAACCACAAACCUCAUCUACAUAGAUCAGAUGCAAGUCUGGAUGUGAUGCUCCAUCUCGUGUAAAAGGAUUAGCGAGCAGUUUCUCAAGCAUACGUGAAGGAAAUUCAAAGCAAAUAUUUUCAGUAGGUGCAGCAACUUGAGGAGCAACUCUUUGUGCUUCCGUUCGAGGUGAAUAUACCCCGAACAAGCUCCUCAAAGGAUUAGUAUCCAUAGUGACAAGUGACAAGAAAUUUCAGCAUACUAUAUGAAUGUUUCCUUACCAAGUUCCACUUACCAAAGGCGCUUCACCCUCCGGCAACGGCGCCAGAAAAGAGUCUUGAUGAACCAAAAGUAUAGAGGAUCAAUUGUAGUCCUUUCGAUAAGUAAGAGUGUCGAACCCAACCAGGGGCAGAAGGAUCUGACAAGUGGUUUUCAGCAAGGAAAAAUCUGCAAGCACUGAAAUUGUCGGUAACAAGUGAUUGUGUGGUGAGAUGAUUCGUAGGAAGUAACAAGUAACAAAAGUAGCAACGGUGCAGCAAAGUGGCCCAAUCCCUUUUGUAGCAAGGGACAAGCCUGGACAAAGUCUUAUAGGAGGAAAAACGCUCCCGAGGACACAACGGGAAUUUCUGUCAUGCUAGUUUUCAUCAUGUUCAUAUGAUUCGCGUUCGUUACUUUGAUAGUUUGAUAUGUGGGUGGACCGGCGCUUGGGUACGGCCCUUACUUGGACAAGCAUCCCACUUACUAUUAACCCCUCUCGCAACCAUCCGCAACUACGAAAGAAGAAUUAAGACAAAGUCUAACCAUAACGUUAAACUAGUGGAUCCAAAUCAUCCCCUUACGAUGUAACACAUAAACUAGUGUUUAAGCUUCUGUCACUCUAGCAACCCAUCAUCUACUUACUACUUCCCAAUGCCUUCCUCUAGGCCCAAAUAAUGGUGAAGUGUUAUGUAGUCGACAUUCACAUAACACCACUAGAGGAAAAACAACAUACAACAUAUCAAAAUACCGAACGAAUACCAAAUUCACAUGACUAUUAUUAGCUUGACUUAUCCCAUGGCCCCAGGAACAAAAGUAACUAAUCACAAAGCAUAAUCAUAAUCAUGAUCAGAGGUUUAAUGAGUAGCAUCAAGGACCUGAACAUAAUCUCUUCCACCAAAUAAUCCAACUAGCACCAACUACAAAGAUCAAUCAACACUACUAGCAACCUUACAAGUACCAAUCGGAGUCGCAAGACGGAGAUUGGUUACAAGUGAUGAACUAGGGUUUGGAGAUGAGAUGGUGUUGAUGAAGAUGUUGAUGGAUAUGAGUCCCCUCCGAUGAGAGGAGUGUUGGUGAUGACGAUGGCGACGAUUUCCCCCUCCGGGAGGGAAGUUUCCCCGGCAGGAUCAUCCUGCCGGAGCUCUAGAUUGGUUCUACUCAAGUUCCGCCUCGUGGCAGCGGCGAAACCAUGAAAAAGCUCGCUUCUCAUUUUUUCCUGGACGAAACCCUCCAUAUAGCAAAAGAGGGGGGAAAGUGGGCCAGCAGGGUGCCCACAAGCCCCCAUGGCGCGACCUGGGGGGGUGGUCGCGCCGUGCAGGCUUGUGGCCACCCCCUGGCGCUCCUAUGGCACUUCCUCGGCCCAAUAUUUUUUAUAUAUUGGGAAAAAAAUCUCCUUUGAUUUUCAGGACGUUUGGAGUUGCGCAGAAUAGGUAUCUCAACUUUGCUCCACUUUCAGGCCAGAAUUCCAGUUGCCGGUAUUCUCCCUCUUCAUGUAAACCUUGCAAAAUAAGAGAGAAAAGACAUAAGAAUAGUACCGUGAAGUGAAAUAACAGCCAAAGAAGCGAUAAAUAUCAACGUGAAAAUAUGAUGCAAAAUGUACGUAUCAAAUACUUCUCAUGUGCUUCAUCACCCUUUCCUCUUCAAGGGAAAAACCGACGCAAGCAAAUCUCCGUCAACGUGUCAAUUUUUGGCGCUCUUGUUUGAGAAGUAGCAUCGACUUAAAUACCUCUUUCAGAAAUUUUAUGUCCUAAGACGAUGCCUUCAUUAACCAUAAAGUGGCACUUCUCCCAAUUCAAGACAAGGUUGGUAUCUUUACAUCUCUGCAAAACUCGAUCAAGGUUGCUAAGGCAAUCAUCAAAAGAAGACCCGUAAACGGAGAAGUCAUCCAUGAAAACCUCAACAAUCUUUUCACAAAAGUCAGAGAAUAUAGCCAUCAUAUAUCUUUGAAAGGUAGCAGGUGCAUUACAUAAGCCAAAAGGCAUACGUCUGUAGGCAAAUGUACCGAAAGGGCAGGUAAAAGUGGUUUUCUCCUGAUUAGAUUGUGCAACAGGUAUUUGGGAGAAACCAGAAUAACCAUCUAGAAAGUAGAAGUGUGUGUGUUUAGACAAUCUUUCUAGUAUUUGGUCAAUAAAAGGCAAAGGGUAAUGAUCUUUCCUAGUGGCUUUAUUCAAUUUCCUAAAAUCAAUUACCAUCCUAUAGCCAGUAAUAAUUCUCUAUGGGAUCAAUUCAUCUUUAUCAUUAGGGACAAUGGUAAUACCUCCCUUCUUAGGGACGCAAUGCACCAGACUUACCCAAUCACUAUGAGCAACAUGAUAGAUAAUACCUGCUUCUAGGAGCUUUAGUAUUUCUUUUCUUACUACCUCUUUCAUCUUAGGAUUUAAUCUCCGUUGAUGAUCGGCAACUGGUUUGGAAUCAGGAUCGGUUUUAAUUUUAUGCUCGCAUAGAGUGAGACUAAUGCCCUUAAGAUCAUCAAGAGUAUAUCCAAUAGCAGCACGGUUCUUCCUCAGAGUUUUCAAUAAUUUCUUUUCUUCAUGCUCUGAAAGUCUAGCACUAAUAAUAACAGGAUAUAUCUAUUUUUCAUCAAGAUAAGCAUACAUAAGAGUAUCAGGUAACUAUUUAAGCUCAAACAUAGGAUCACCCUUUGGUGGGGGUGGAUCUCCAAGCAGUUCAACAUGCAAAUUAUUCUUAAGGAUAGGAUGUUGUUCAAAGAUAACUCUAUCUAUCUCAUUCCUUUCAUCCAUAUGCAUAUCAUUUUCAUGCUCAAGCAAGUAUUGCUCUAAAGGAUCAGUAGGAGGCACAUCAAUAGAAGCUAGGGCAAUACUUUCAUCCUUACUAGACAAUUCUUUUUCAUGAGGUUGUCUACCAAACUUGGAGAAAUUGAAUUCAUGUGACACACCUUCAAAGCCAACAGUGACAGUUUGCUUCUCACAGUCAAUAUGAGCAUUGACAGUAUUGAGGAAAGGUCUGCCAAAUAUGAUGGGACAAAAGCUAUCUUGUGUGGUAGCAAGAACGAGAAAAUCAGCAGGAUACUUAGUUUUACCACACAAGACUUCAACAUCUCUAACAAUUCCCAAAGGGAAGAUAAUAUCUCUAUUGGCAAGCUGAAUAGUAACAUCAAUAGGUUCCAUCUCGACAGGUGCAAUCUCGUCUUUAAUUUCAUCAUAUAAAGAUCGAGGUAUUGCACUAACACUAGCACCCACGUCACAUAAACCAUGAUAACAAUGACCUCCUAUCUUAACAGAGACAAUAGGCAUGCCAACAACAGGCCCAUGUUUGUCUCUAGCAUGGGGUUUAGCAAUUCUAGCAGCAUCUUCACAGAAGUGAAUAUCAUGGCCAUCAACAUUGUCGAACAUGAGAUCUUUGAUAAUAGCAAUGCUAGGUUCAACUCUAAUUUGCUCAGGGGGUGUAGGUGUUCUAAUGUAGCCCUUACGUAUCACAGUUGGAGCUUUAGCAUGAUCCUUUAUUCUAACACAGAAGGGUGGUUUCUCAAUGUAAGCACUAGGAACAAUAGGAUCAUUGUAAGCAAUGACUUUCUCUUCAACUGGAUUGGGUUUAACUACAUUGACUUCUAUGGGAGGAUGAUAUUUAAACAACUUCUCUUUAGGGAGAUUAAUAUGAGCAGCAAAUGAUUCACAUAAUGAAGCUACUAUCUCAGAGUCAAGUCCAUGUUUAGCGCUAAAAUCACAAAAAGUAUUUGUUUCAACGAAGGAUUUAACGCAAUCGAACUUAAGAUUCAUACAUGACUCCUUACCUUCAUCAAACUCCCAAUCUUCAGAGUUGUGUUUAAUUCUUUCCAAUAAAUUCCAUUUGAAGUCAAUAUCUCUCUUCAUAAAAUAACCAGUACAAGAAGUGUCAAGCAUGGUGCGAUUAUCAUGAGAAAGCCGAGCAUAAAAGUUCUGAAUAAUAAUUUCUCUCGAAAGAUCAUGGUUGGGGCAUGAAUAUAACAUUGAUUUAAGCCUCCCCCAAGCUUGAGCGAUACUUUCUCUAUCACGAGUCCAAAAAUUAUAGAUACAAUUCCGAUCACGAUGUACCAAAUGCAUAGGAUAAAACUGUUGAUGAAAUUCUAAUUUCAGUCGGUUGUAGUUCCAUGAUCCAGUAUCAUCACAUAACCUAUACCAUGUCAAUGCUUUAUCCCUCAAAGAUAACGGAAAGACCUUCUUCUUGACCUCAUCCUCGGGCAAACCUGCAAGUAUAAAUAAACCACAAACUUCAUCUACAUAGAUUAGAUGCAAGUCACGAUGUGAUGUUCCAUCUCAUGUAAAGGGAUUACCCAACAGUUUCUCUAGCAUACCCGAAGGAAUUUCAUAACAAAUAUUUUCAGUAGGUGCAGUAGGUUGAGGAGCAACUCCUUGUGCUUCCGUUCGUGGUGAAGAUACCCCAAACAAGCUCCUCAAAGGAUUAGUUUCCAUAGUGACAAUAAAUUUUAGCACACUAUAUAAAUGUUUCCUUACCAAAUUCCACUUACCAAAGGCACUUCACUCCCUGGCAACGACGCCAGAAAAGAGUCUUGAUGACCCACACGUGUAGGGGAUCUAUUGUAGCCCUUUCGAUAAGUAAGAGUGUCGAACCCAACGAGGAGCAGAAGGAACUGACAAGUGGUUUUCACCAAGGUAUUCUGUGGACGCACUGAAAUUAUCGGUAACAGAUAGUUGUGUGAUAAGAUAAUUCGUAGCGAGUAGCAAGUAACAAUAGUAACAAAGGUGCAGAAAGAUGGCCCAAUCCCUUUUGUAGCAAGGGAAAAGCCUGGACAAACUCUUAUAUGAGGUGAAGCGCUCCCGAGGACACAUGUGAAUUUCUGUCAAUCUAGUUUUCAUCAUGUUCAUAUGAUUCGCGUUCGCUACUUUGAUAUUUUGAUAUGUGGGUGGACCGGUGCUUGGGUGCUUCCCUUACUUGGACAAACAUCCCACUUAUGAUUAACCCCUCUCGCAAGCAUCCGCAACUACGAAAGAAGAAUUAAGACUAAGCCUAACCAUAUCAUUAAACUAGUGGAUCCAAAUCAGCCCCUUACGAAGCAACGCAUAAACUAGGGUUUAAGCUUCUGUCACUCUAGCAACCCAUCAUCUACUUAUUACUUCCUAAUGCCUUCCUCUAGGCCCAAAUAAUGGUGAAGUGUCAUGUAGUCGACGUUCACAUAACAUCACUAGAGGAAAGACAACAUACAUCGCAUCAAAAUAUCGAACGAAUACCAAAUUCACAUGACUACUUAUAACAAGACUUAUCCCAUGUCCUCAGGAACAAAAGUGACUACUCACAAACCAUAAUUAUGUUCAUGGCCAGAGAGGUAUUGAAUAGCAUUAAGGAUCUGAACAUAUGAUCCUUCACCGAGUAAUCCAACUAGCAUCAACUACAAAGAGUAAUUAACACUACUAGCAACCUUACAAGUACCAAUCGGAGUCGCGAGACGGAGAUUGGUUACAAGAGAUGAACUGGGGUUUGGAGAUGAGAUGGUGCUGAUGAAGAUGUUGAUGGAGAUGAGCCCCCUCCGAUGAGAGGAGUGUUGGUGAUGACGAUGGCGACGAUUUCCCCCUCCGGGAGGGAAGUUUCCCCGGCAGGACGGCCCUGCCGGAGCUCUAGAUUGGUUCUGCUCAAGUUCCGCCUCGUGGCGCGGCGUCUCUUCCCGAAAGCCUCCUCCUGAUUUUUUCUGGGACGAAACCCUCCUUACAACAAAAGAUGGGAGCCGGAGGGGCAGCAGGGGGCCCACAAGCCACCCAGGCGCGGCGAGGGGGUAGGCCGCGCCUGGCAGGCUUGUGGCCUCCUGGUGGCUCCUCUCCGGUACUUCUUCCGCCCAGUAUUUUUUUAUAAAAUCCAAAAUAAUUCCUCGUUGAUUUUCACGGCUUUUGGAGUUGCGCAGAAUAGGUAUCUCAAACUUGCUCCCUUUUCAGACCAGAAUUCCAACUGCCGGCAUUCUCCCUCUUCAUGUAAACCUUAUAAAAUAAGAGAGAAAAGACAUAAGUAUUCUACCGUAAUGUGUAAUAACAGUCCAUAAAGCGAUAAAUAUCAACAUAAAGGCAUGAUGCAAAAUGGACGUAUCAGUGGGCUGUCCCUUCUUACUUAUAUAUAGACGCAGAGGAUGUCCAAGGCUUGGAGGACAACCUUAUAGCUGCCCCUAUGCCUUGCCUGCGAGGCUAUAGUGGGUGAGCCCACUAUAUGGGGCCCAUUUAGCCCAUGAGGCUACUCCCACUUCUGCUAGCCAAGGGUAUCAACCCGUAGGGUCUUUUAGAUCUUUUCGGGAGAUUUUGGAGUAUUUCAAAAUCUUCCCAAACUUUUUGGUGUCUUUUAGGUUCUUUGGGACCUUCUUGGUUAUCCAAUAUAUUUUCCAAAAGCUAACGCCCACACAUGUGGGCGUUUGCAAUUUGCCCACACGUCUUCAUUAUUAUUUAUUUUGCCACGUCAAAACAGAUAACAUCAACGGAAAUCUUUUUUGGGUUUUGUCUUAAAAAUGUUUUAUCUUUUAAUUAAAAAAUCCAAUUAAAAAUCCGUUUUCACCAUUAAAACCAUCUCGACGAGAUCUUCAAAACUAGAUCUUAUGUUGAUAUGUUCCGAAAAAAUUGUUUUUUGAGCAAGAGUUGCCAAGAUGUUACACCGUAGUUGUCAUAGUGUUUACAUUAAAGUGUCCAUGUCAUGUUCUAUUCAUUUUUUCUUCUAUAUUUAGAGCCACAUGUAUAUUUUUCAACUACUUUUUAUGACAAUUUUAUUAAUUGACCAUGAAAUUUUUAGUAAUUGACCACGAAAAAAUUAAUGCAUUGAUCAUGGCAAUUCUUUACUAAUCCAUCAAAAUUUACUUUUAAAGGUAAAAAAAUAUCCGAAACAUAUCAUGGCAACUUCAGUGUAAACACCAUGGUAAUUCAUGUGCAAUAGACAUAGCAACUUUUAAUUCAAAAAAGUCGUCGAAAUAUAUUGAGUUUCGAAGAUCUCGUCGUGAUGGAUUUAAUGCUGAAAACGGAUCUUUAAUCAGAUUUUUUUAUGUAAGAGAUAAAACAUUUUAAAAACUAGAAAUGAAAAAAAAAAUCUCACAUGCAUGCAUGUGAUGAUGUGGCAUAAUCUCUGUGUUAGAGGCGAGUGGCGGAUGUUGCUUCCACCAUAUGUGUGGACGUUAUUGCGACCCAUUAAUUUUUUUUUGUAUUUUUUCUCUAGAACAUUUUCGAUAUUUUCCAAACUUUUAGGUCUAUUUCUCUCGUACUCCUAAUACUUUUAGUACUCACAAAUUGAUGUCAAUAAGCGUGUAACCCUAUAAAUUAGGUAAUGUGCAUACGUGAACCGGAACUCCUUCCUGUCAAAAAUCAAUAGCGGACCAGACAUCCAAAUUAACUCCUACGCAUACACGAACAUAGAUGCAGUGAAUGUUUGUCCAAGUGCGUCCCUUACAAUAGAAAUCAUUCCUUAAUAUCCACAAACUCUAGCUCAAACAAGGUUAAGGAGACGUUUGCUUUUGAGCAAGACCGGACCUUGUUCCACACAUAGAGUUUCUUUCAGGGUUACACACAUAACUACGUAAGAGACCUCCUAAUCCACACGAUAUAGCCGACCCAGUACAGGACGGUGGCGCCAUAUUUUACAUUUAUUUUAUCAUUUGGUUUCCAUUAUCUUUUUUUACUACUAACACAAAUGCCCAUGCAUUGCAACGGAAAGAUAUAAAACAUUACGGCAUAUUCGCGACAACAUUUACAUUGGUAUCUCAUCUAUGACAUAAUCAUUACAUAAGCAGUGUGUUGUACAUCUCCACUCCAUGUCGAGAUCAGGCAUCAUGAUAUCUUUUCCAAAAAUAAUAGUACACAUCCUUACCCCAAUAGGCAUGGCUCGAGGACCCUCUCUCCACUGGUCCACGUCUUCAAUUUCAACACGUCACUUAUCCCCCAUCUCAUCUUGUCAACGGUGGCUUACGGAUGUUAAAUAACAACUACGAAAUUAUUUAGAGACCUCUAUUUACAACCCAUCUCACAUCAUAAUGAUAUAGAAUAAAUUAUACACUGUAAUUUGAAGUAUAGAUUAGACUGAUGCAUCAAAUAUGAUAUACAUCUGAAGUCUGAAUUGUUCCCCUUUUAAGACAUCCAAGAACAUUCGGUAGACAUUUUAGUUCCAAAGCCCAAGACCAAUUGUCAAUCAUGAAACCUAAGAAACGGGAUCAAGGAGUCAAUAUUGAACCUCAAGUCAAAAGAUGAAACAUUAUGGUACAUACAUGUAGCUCUGGAGACCUCUGUACCUUGAUGUAGUGCACUGUGGCAUCACAUGAAGCCACUGAGUUGCCAACAAACUCAAAAGUACUCCCUCCAUUCCUAAAUAUAUGUCUUUCUAGAAAUUUUAUUUGGGGACUACAUACAAAACAAAGUGAAUGAAUCUAUACUAUAAAAUAUGUCUAUAUACAUUCGUAUGUAGUCUUUUAAUGAAAUCUCUAAAAAGACUUAUAUUUAGGAACGGAGGGAGUAGAUCCCAGACGAAUCCCUAGCAUCACCUGUAAAUCGAACCGUUUUUUUUCAUGGGGUGUAUAUGUUACAACACCACAACAACACACACUCUGCAAUGUUAGUUGAAUCGUGCAUCCAUAUUUUACGGAGGCAGCGAGGUGCUCGUCCACGGCUAGCCGUCGAUGGCAUCCAGUGUGUGACUGCAUCCACGACAAGUCGUUCCGAUGACCACAACAUCAACAUCCUUUUCUCUUUCCCUGUCUUCUCUUGGGUACCAUCAUCGGUGGACGGUGAGAAGGACUAACGCAUUCACGACCUAGUUGCCUAGCUACAGAACUUGAGGUCAUGGCUUAAAGCACUUGCACGGAACAGGCACAACACACAUAUUAUAGACGUGGAACAGAAAAUCCAUAACUUAGUUCUUAUAGCAUGUAAAAUAUCUUCGCUUGGUUGUAGCUUUUACCAAAUCACCCAAAGAAUGGGCACCGGAUUGCAGCGUGAGUGUAGAUUAGCAUUCAUUUUAAGUGGUUUGUUUGGAUUUGAAGGUAUGGUUUGUUUGGAUUCCAGUCUUAGCAUUCUAAAAAAUAUAUCUUAAAACCCAUUGUUAUCCCUCAAAAAAAUCUCAGUGUAAUGAAAAUCUAUAAAAGAAAAGGUAUGCAUCUAGGAACAUGCAGUGUCCCUUCUGAAUAAUCAUUAGAUCACUAAACUGUUAACACAAGGAUGUAAGUGCAGAGAGAGAAGGACAUGAUCAGCAAUGGAAAAGCAAAAUUUGCACAUAGUAAAUAACCUUAUAUAGUUAACUCUCCAGUCUCCGUGGAGCUUACUAUGUGCAAAUUGAGGGAUAUCUUGAAAAGUUGUACAAAUAUACAAAUGCAGUUUCUGAACUUACUCUAAUAAUGAACAUACAAACUAAUAAUUAAGUAGGAGGAUAGUUGUGUAGUUCAUUUAUGUUCUGAGGGAUAAUGCUCAUUUCUAUAGGAAAAUAAUCUUAUAUUUCUAACUGAACUAUAAUCCCAUGUAGGUAUGGUUGUAGAACAAAGAACAUAUUACAUAUUGAUAUAAUCCCUUCUUCUUCCUCACAGAACUAAAUAAAAGAACACACAUGAGUAAAAUUAUAAUAACUGAAUAAAAGAACACACAUGAGUAACUUAAAUUAUGAAUUGGACAUAAACUUUUUCAUGGUUGCCUAGCAAAUGAAAAUAGCACCUUGUCAUAUAUUGGGUCUUCAAUAGAAUCAAAACAUGGUCAGAGUGCUCCUGAGAUUUAUGGUUUUUGAACUAUGUUCCUUGACAACAUGCCCCCUCUUUGCUUAUUGAUGGAUCAGAUAGGCAAUCAAAUCCUAAGUUCUUUUUUACUUUCAUUUUGCAAUUUAAUAUAUGCAGCAGGACAUUGUGGUACUAAAAUUUUCAUUAAAGUAGCUACAAAAGGCCCCUAGUCAACAUACUAAAACCAUGGGCAAUGUUUUCUGAAUGCGUGAAAUGUUACAAUGUUGGCAAACAAUUCUGAAUUAUAGUUCCCCAAAACUGACAUGUUUCUAUCAACAUCUCAAACCUGGUGGACUUGAUGCCUAAGAUUCCCUACCGGAUAUAAUUGAAUAACUAAAAAGGAAAAAAAUAAGCUCCUAUAUUCAACAAUAUAAAGCUAGCAUAGUUGGCAUCCCAAAUUAAAGAAUCAUUUUGCAUCAUGGAAAGGAUAAUAUCAACAAGUGUUGUGCAGGUCAAAUUACCACGCAACAAGACCAUGAUAUGCAUUGACAGGUAUCCAUUAGAAUCUCAGGUGCAUCAUACAAUGUUGUAUUAUCGAAUAUCACCAUGUGGUUGAAAAUAGCCUGGGAGUUUUGAAGUGUUGCUGAAGAUUCCUCACAAAGGUCAAACCGAGUUAGCAGUUACCUCUAUGUAACCCCGUUUUAUAUUACCAAAAGGAUGAAAGUAAUUUAAGACAUGUGAAGUAAACCAAGAGGCGGCAGAGAAGACAUGUAUGUGUGUACAUGCAGAUGAUUGUCAAGAUUAGAUCACACAAAUGGUGUCCUCACCGGCCGUGCAGAGGAGGGCAUGGGCGGAGGAGCCGGUUUCCCUGGACAACACACGCUCGGCAGUCGGGGCAGCGCCUGGCCGGACCAUCUCUAGAAGAUGUAGGGAGAUGGGGAGCGGCAGCGGCAGCGGGGCAGGCCUAUUUUCUUGGAUUUAGCACUCGAUGUGGGGCAUCGAGGAGCACAGGUCGCUGCAACUUUAGCUCGUGGAGGGCCUAGGUGGGGAAGGCACCGCCGGGGCAGCCCAUGAUAAGGAGAUGGGGAGAAGCAGGGAGGCAGGGCUGUCCUGGAUCGGCUGCUUGUCGUUGGCGUCUUGGAGCAUGGGCCGCCGGAUCUUGAGCCUAUGAAGGUCGGGGCGGUCGGGGAGCCAGCGGAGAGAUGGUUCGGCCACACCUUGAGAUGCGAGGAUGCACAUCCGUCCAUGGCCGUCGCUGGCGUCGCAACAUAGGGCGCUGAUGGGCCAUGGAGCGUCACCGCCGGCCUCCACUAUGCGCCGCCGCGUUGGAUCCCGACCUGACCCGGCUCGCAGCGGUGUUCAUCGCUUCCCUGCCAUUCCCCGCCUCGAGGAGCCCCGCCGCCGUCGUCCUGCGUCAUCUCCCGAGUGGAUCGGAAGCGACACCGCUGGAUCUGCAGCCCAACGUGCACACAAGGAUGACGAAAGGAUAAAUCGAACCCUUUUUCUCCCCUCACCAUGGACUCGGGUUAAUUAUCAUAAAGUAGGAGGGCUUUUUUUUUAAAACGACGGCGACGGAUUUUCCGACAGAAGCGAUAGCCUCUUUAUUAUUAGGUAAAGAUUUAAGUUUAUACAAAAAUAGAAAAAUGAUCCUACAUAUCAAAAUAUGUUACAACAUUCAAAGAAUGUUCGCGAAACCAAAACAUGCUCGUGAAAUAAAAAAUGUUUAGCAUUUCAAAAUAUUCCCAAAAUUAGUUCCAAAAAGAUCACUAAUUUAAAGCAUGAUCACGAAUUUGAAAACCAAAACAUGCUCGUGAAAUAAAAAAUGUUUCGCAUUUCAAAAUAUUCCCAAAAUUAGUUCAAAAAAGUUCACUAAUUUAAAGCAUGAUCACGAAUUUGAAACAAUGAUCCAAAUUAAACAUGUCCACAAAAUAAAUAAAACAAUUUCGACUUCAAAAAAAUGUUCACAAAUUUUAAAAGUUGUUCUCUGAUUAAUAAAAAUUUCAAAAAAUCUAAUAAAGUUAAUGAAUUCAAAAAUUACUGCCAAUUCUUUAAAUGUUAGUUAAUGUAAAAACAAUCUUUUUUUAAUUUCAUGAAUUCAAAAACUAUUUUCAUAUUUCAAAAAAGUAUACAAAUUAGAAAAAAAAAUAUGUGAAUUUGAAAAAAUCACAUAUUUGAGAAAAGAGAACAAAAUGAAAAUAAUAAGUAAAAACAUAAAUAAAAAGAGAAACAUAAAAUAAACAAUACAAAUGAAAAGGAAAAAAAAUGCUUGCGUGCACUGGACGCGUAGCACAUUUUAAAAUUCAAAAAAUGCAGUACAUUUACAGAACAUUAAGAAUGCUGUACAAAAUCAUACUAUAAAAGUUCAAAACAUUGCACGAGAUUGAAAAAUGAAAAUUUUGACGUUAGUAUGAUUAUAGGCCAAAUCUAAUGUCCAAUUAAUGUUAUGUUCCCUCCAUGCGGAAUUGCUUUAAUGAAUGUAUUUAGCACUAAUCUAGCCGAACUAAUAUAUUUUGUCACUCGAAUACAUUCAUUUCAGGGAUAACUAUUUUGUGUGAGCUAUUUUGUUUUUCGAAAAAAAUAAAAAAAAAUUGAACAUUUGUUAAACGUGAUACGGGCAUCCGGUGCACCGGUGGCACCACGAGCACCAAUGCACCAGAUAUAGAUCGUUAUCCAUCAUGAAUAGGAAUCGCCUGCACAUAGAGGUAUCAAUCAUGAAUGCAUCUUGAGUUGAGAAAAGCCCUUUGGGCCUGCGAGACGAGGUGCUCAAUCUAGUGCCUUGCAAGCCAGAUUAAAGGAUGUCCUAUUGGGACAGGUGUUUUGGUUUUCGAAGCAUUUUAUUUCAGAUAAACAGUACCCUAAAAAAAUAACUAAAUGUAUUUAAAAAGUUCUAAAAUAUUUUGUAGAUGUUCGUGUUAGUGUGACAAGCAUGCUUAAAAAAAUCAUGAAAAACAGAGCGGCAGUUUUUCAUCGGUGCAAGAAACUAAUUUGAAGACUGUUGGGGGUGACAUUUUGUGUUCAAUUUGGGUUUUUUUAAUGCAGGUUAAAAUGCUUAACUUUUUACCCAAACAAUUUCCAGUAGCAUUUGGGUGUGACUAAGAACACAUAAAAUUUCUUUUGAGAUUUUUUUGACAAUUCAAAAAUUAUUUUCAUGUGCAGGACCAUAUGCACCCGGGAGCUGGAUUGUCCUCUCCGUCUUAGAGCAUCUCCGACCGCGUCUUCAACAGCCCUCUUUCGCCAUUUUUUUAUGGCCGGCAGGGAAAAAACGACCGAGCUGCGCCCCCCGGAUCCCGUUUUUGGUCGGUUCGGGUCAAAAUUGGCCCCAGCGGUCCCUGGACGAACCUAGCGCGGUGGGGUCGUCCAGGGGCAUCGGCGGAAAGUAUUCUUGGCGUGAAAAAUGAAGGGCCCGCCGAGUCAGCGACUGGGCGCGCGGUUGUCGUCCUUAUCGCCUCGUUUUUCACGAGAAUCAAUGUGAAUGCUGCAUCGUCGGGCAGCUUUUCAUUGAUUCACGAGCGGCACAGUAAAGACGCGACGACACCCGUUUCAACGACGUCCCGUCGGUUCCUGCCAUACAGUCAUACGACGCCACUCCGUAUGCCUGUCCGUCCGCGGCUAUAUAAGGCGACCUCCACCCGCGCGGGGACCGAUCGGCUGGAAAUGCUCUUAUUGCGAAAACCGGUAUCCGGUAACACGAAGAACCACUUUCCUCAGCGUCACAGAUAGAUAUGUGGCCCUACCAAGGACACGCAGAGAUUCCUUUGAUUCUUUUUACAUUAUUUCAGUUGGUGGUCUUGGUCGUCAACUGAUUUUGCCGUGCUGCUUUUGUGUUGAGUGAUGGAAGCGACGAAUCAUUAUUUCAGUUGGUGGUGAUACGAACACAGACACAGUGUGCGUGGUGGUCUUGGUCGUCAACUGAUUUUGCCGUGCUGCUUUUGAAGCGACGAAUCAUCUAUCCCAACUUUCGACUCACUCAUAUACGUAUUCCACGGUAAACAACAACAACGGACACCUUUUGGGCGGAGAUGGCAAGCGCAUCGCCACUCCAUCCGGCGAUCUAGCGAGCGAGCGGCGGGUCGAAAGGGACGGAGCCCCCAACGGACGGCGACCUCCGCCGCGACAACCGCGGCGAAAUCACCAGGAAAUAUGUGUGGGUGGGAGGGCUGCGAUCCUGUGGAACAAAUUCAUUCGGAAUCUACCGCACCCACCCAGGGACCGCACCACACGCGUGCGUGGCAGUGUCCCGUGGCAAGGCCACCUGGUUUUUGUUUGUGAUGGAGACGUCCCACCGGUGACCGCCUGACCGGUCUCGGUAGGCCACCCCCGGCCGUGAUGGUUGCCUGUCUCUGGCUAGCUAGGCUGAGAUGUGUCCAUGGAUUGGAGAUGUAAUUACAGAGUGCGAGUGAUCUUUGCGUUUUGUUCGUACCGUACGUGAACCCUACCAUGACGGUAAGCUUCGCAGCUGGUGGCGGGGGUUCAGGAGAUGCAUGCCGGAUAGAGAUGGAAGCACGCAGGCGGAGGCCGUGGUGAAUGGAGAUCAAGCUCGUCUUUUGGUGGAGAUGGAUAGAGUGAAGGUAGGAGGGAGGCUGUGAUCUUGACGACGGCUUGACUUGGUCGAGUAGCCGGUUGCACGCGACGACGACAGUGUAGGCUCUGAUCUUUGAUCUUGUUUUUUUAGACUGCAGUGUAACGACGACAAUCUGGUUGCACGCGUCCACUAAUUCUAUUGUUUAUGCGUUGCCUCCUUGCUGGCUGAAGUUUUGUCUUCAAAGAAUGAAACGCAAGAUUUUUAAUUUUUAUUUUGUUAAUACGAUACACACGCAGACGCUCAUCCAUGCACACAUACACUCAUAUCUAUAAACACACAUACAUGACAUAUCCCUAUGAGCACCUUCAAAACACUUAGCCGGCAUAUCAUCUUAAGAUUAAUGAAAUCAUCAAUGACGCCUUCAUACUUGCGAUGAAAACGUCUCCUCUAAUUGAACGCACGACACGAGAAGGUUUGAAAACACGAGCACCGCUGUCAAGUCUAGAAUUUAAACCUUGACAGAUCAAAGAUAUUAUUAUUCUCCUAACCACCCAACCAUAACUGGUUCAUUUUAUUUAACGGGCGUACAUACAAGGAUUCGAAGGAUCAAAACCUCUACAAGAAAUUAUGUGGAUCCCUGGAUGAAGGUAGUGAGUGUGGGCACAGUGGUGAGAGCGUAAUCCUAGAUUAGUACUAUUAGUUGUGACAGGGUGUUGAUCUUUUUCUCCAAGGGAAACAACGUGGCUCUGCUACAUAUUCUUAUUUAUUUUCAAAUAAGUAAAUACAAUAGGGCAAGUGUUCAAAAAGAGCAAAAACAUACUAUACAAAAGAGAGAGAGAGAGAAAACCUUAGAGGAAUAAAGACGACAACAACAACAAAAAUACAGUGGGAACAAGGCCCCAACUACAAACGUGGAAACCCAAUUCUCCAAGUUUGAAUAGCUUUUCCUCUUUUCCUCUUUUCCUCUUUGCCGUGAGAACUAAUCACUUGAGCUAUGUCUUAAAUUUUCUUUGGCAAGCAUAAAGACUAAGGGUGACUCCCUUGAAAAUCAAGUCAUUGCAAGUGGUCCAAAUGGCCCAAGAAGCCAGGAUGAUGAGCUCCAAGGAAUAAUGCAACCCGAUAUUAGUUUUCAAAGUAAUUACCAGUUUGGAUGCCUUGAUGCUAUGGGGUCUAGGUGGGACUAAUAUAUGACGAGCAGAUGCAUGCAAAAGGGCAGUGAAAGAAGAGAUGAUAUCUUGUUUGAAGCUCAUGAUUGCUGCAAAGAACAUGAAUAAUCCUCAAUGAAGAAGUUCUUGCAUUGCAACACGACCCUAGUAUUAAGCCUAUUAUUGAUGAGCAACCGAAAAAAAUUCUUAUACUUGAGCUAGUAACAGGUCUGCCAAACCCAUUCGAUGAGGGGGAGAACCUCAUACUCCCCCAUGAGGAAUUUGCAAAUGUUGGACACUUUGUAGCUCGUUGCACUUGAAAGGCAGAACCAUAAAUCCUAGUCUACAUGGAUUCCCACUUCUGUAAUGAGGAGCAAAUUCAUUAAACUCUGCAAAUGCUUCUUCAGAUAAAGGUAGGUGAAAGUGUUGUAGCAAAUCAUUUAAUUAGACUCCAAAUUUGGCUAAUGGAAGCUUUAUCAUUCUUGGAGAAGGAGAACAUAUGUGGCCGUUCUUGCAUAUAAGGCAAACCAUUCGAUUUAUUAUUCCAGAACUGAAUAGGGUACCAUUAGCUACAAUACAGUUGACAUGUUUUUUAUAAAGAUGCAGAAAUUUGAGGUAGUCUCUCCACUAGAAAGAAGCAAUUGUGAUGUGCUCAGUAGGUAGUCUACUUGCAUAAUAUGCUUCCAAAACAAGGCGAACCCAAGGUAUAUCGUGGAGGUUGAUAAAAUUGUGAAGCAUUUUCAUCAACUAUUUUUCUGCAGUUGAAGGUUGAGAAUCCCUAAGACACCUUGAUCUUUAGGUAUAUAGAUUAGAUCCUAUGUACUAAAGGGGGGCGGCGGGGGGGGGGGUCGUUUUUCGUCCAAAUCCUUGCCCCUCCAAAACAAGUGCCUUUUAUAUCCAUCCACCUAAGAAAGAAUGCAUUUGUAUAGCAACAUAUAACUCAUGAGAGAAAUGGGCAUGAUGAUAAGAAUGCAUUGACCAUCAACAAUUUCUCAUCAUAGUUUAAAUAGUCAUAUCACACAUUUAGUCGCCUUUGAAUUCUGUCAGUAAUAUACAGGAAGUGCUCUAAUCUAGACUUGGUAAUUCUUAAAGGGCCCUCGAGAUAUGUGAAAGGGAACUGAUCCACUGAGAACCCAAGAAUUAUUGAGAGAGCUUGCACUUCCUCUUCCAUCACAUUGAUUGGAAUUAAGUUGGAUCAUAAUUAACCUUGAGCCCCGAAACUUUGUAAAAGGCGUCAGUGAGUAAUUUGUAAAAGGCAAAGUUAAUAGGUUUCUGUAGUAUGCUCCUCUAGAUGGCAGCAUUUAGGAUAGUUUGGAAAAAGUCUACACACAGAACAAAUAGAUGAGAAGAAAGGGGGUCACCUUGUCUUACUCCUCUCCUGCAUUUGAAAGAAUUCCCUAGCACACCAUUGAAUACGACAACAAAUGUAGCUGAAUUAAAAAAAUGGAGAUCCGGCCACACCGUUUAGCUCCAAAUCCCUUAUGUUGCAUGAUAGCCAAAAUAAUGCCAUGCUCUAUUUUAUCAAAAGCCUUUUCAAAAUCAAGUUUACGUAUCACAAUAUGUAUUUUUCUCUUGUGACAUUGGAAGAGGAAUUCAUAUGCCCAUGCAAUGCAAUCAUGAAUGGACCUUGACUUUAUAAACCCAUAUUGGUUAACAUGUAUCACUUCCAUAAUCAUAGAGUGAAGCCUAUUAGCCAGCAACUUUGUCAAGAUUUUGAUUGUGCAACUUAGUAAGGAGAUUGGUGAUGUCCUCCAAGGGCACAUGGCUAUUGCAUUUCGUGAUAAGUAAGUGUAGAAUCCCACACGGAGAAAAUAUGAAGACACUAAUAACCCCGUAGAUACGUUGCCAACACCGCCAUGUUCGCUCCCAAAACGUAGUUUGGAAAUAGUAUAUUUUAUCGGUUGUUAGAAAAACGAGAAUAAAAGAGGUUUUUACUAAUCUACAAGUUAGAAUGUGAAAAUAAACUAAGUCAAUAAAAGAGGGUGGCUGGACGGAGUUGUUGUGGAUGGUGCCUGCUCGCUGAAGAUUGUGGCUAGGGCAGGAGGAGUUUAUAUAAGAGGCCUGUUCGGGUCUCCUUUGUUGAUGUGGAUCCUCCUAGUCCAUCCAAAGGACCAAGACACACCUUAUCCUCUCCCAAACCCUUCCUUAUAAACCAAGGAUGCCGGAACAAUUGGGGACGAAAUCAGUGAAGAAUCUAGUCUGGAGAGGCAACUUUUGGAGCUGUUUGGAUGUCAUACGAGCGGUUGCGGUCGCAUAGAACACCAUCUUUUUUUCGACCUUCUCCCGUGAAAUGGUCGCCAUUUCUUCAUAUGAACUCUGAAUUUGAUGUUCUUGGGUUUGUUGGAUUUGUAUGAACGACGCCAAUCCAUUACUGGUCUUACGUAUUUAUUUAGAUCAUUUUGGAAAAAAUCACUUUUUCGACCUCUGAAAUGGCUAAGUCUGACCCGUGGGUGACUUCGUAUUGAACCCAUCCUUGGUACUUUCAUCAUGCUUGGUCCUAGGUUACUCCAUAACACCUAUAGACACAAGAAAACAAAGAAAAGAAAUAAAAACAAAAUAAAGUACUAAAUAUGUAAUGCUCACAAGUAAAAGUGUAAAUACCGGUAAUCAUGCAUGAUAGAUAACUAUCUCGUUCACUGGGACAUGUUAUAUAAAGAGAACAUGCAACAAAUGAGCUCCAAAAAUGUGUAAAUAUAGAGCCAUCAACCUCCCCAUGAUUAAACCUUGCUUGUCCUCGAGUAAGAAGGUUGAAUAUUAAAAGCGCAUUGCAACCAACUCUAAAGCAUACAUAGAACCAGACCCCACAAGUGAUAUCCAUGUUCAUCAUGCAAGCAUGCAAAAGUUAACUAGUAAGGGAGUAAUACAAGCUAUCCUCUUAGUUUGAUUGCCAUGAAGGUUGAGAAAGAGGAAAAUACUUUUAUGGACCCUGAAUUCCUGUUGACAAAGGUUUAGAGAAGGUCAAUAUUAUGUUAUGAACACAACAAUGACAAUGAUAGACAAAAUAAAUCAAGCAUUAGUGAUCGCUUCAACAAAACCAAUUCGAGGCAUACCAUGUACAAUAGUGAUACUUGUAAACUCCGUUGAGAUUUUCCCCGAAGAGGAGAGGAGAUGCAACACACUAGAGAUAAGUAUUUCCUUCAGUGAGAACCAAGGUUAUCGAACCAAUAGGAGUAUUAAGAAAACCCUCAUCGUGAGCAUCUACACAAAGAGGACCAAACAGUUGCACCCAACACAAGCAAGAGGGUUGUCAAGCCCCUUGAACUCGUUACUUGCAAGGAUUAAAUAUGAUAGAUAGAUAAUAUAAAUAUAAUAACUAAAUGCAAAUAAUAAAAGGCAGUGAGGUAUUUUUAGGGUUUUAGUAUUUAUGUUUAAGUAGAUUCGGGUGGGCAUAGCUUUCACUAGAGGCUUCUCUCUUGAAAAUAACAUACGGUUGGUAGACAAAUCACUGUUGGGCAAGUGGUAGAAUACACAUAGUUAUGACAUAUUAUUCAUGACAAUGAUCAUGUAUAUAGGCAUCACGUCCAUAAAUAAGUAGACCGAUUCCUGCGUGCAUCUAUUACUAUUACUCCACUCAUCGAGUGUUUCCAAUAUGCAACUAGACUGCAUCUAUUACUAUUAAUCCACUCAUCGACCACUAUCCGACAUGCAUCUAGAGUAUUAAGUAUGAAACAGAGUAAUGCUUUCCAAGUUUCACUCGGAGGGACGUAGUGACAUUCGGAUUUGAGCGGUUGCGCAGGGGGCGAAGGAUGGGGUGGCGCCGCCGUCGAUUGGGAUGAAGAGUUAGAGGAGGGGCGUCGGGUGGAGGGCGCGGUACAGGCGAUGGAAGGGCGGGGAGGAGCGGACGACGCACAACCAUGCGUAGCAGGUGAGCGCGACGCUAAUGAGAGCAUGGAGGUCCAGGAGGUGGAGAAAGUUCUCGUGAAGAUCGUCUUUGCGGAGGGACAAUAUGGUGGUGGUGCUAGCGGCGACAUCGGCGACGACGGUGGAGGUGGAGGUGGUUGGUAUGGUGGUGGUGGUUGUGAUUGUAGUGGUGCCAUCAAUAGAGAUGGAGGUGGUUUUGGUUGUGGUGCUGGUGAUUCGUUGGCAGGGGUAGUGGUGUUGGUGGUGGACGGGGUGGAUGAGGGUUUUGCUAGAGGCGUCGCCGUCGUUGCCGGCAUAAGUUGACUCGUCGUUGCUCGAGUGGAAGGAGUCAAUGGAGUGAGUGAGGUGGGCCAAAUAUGUGUUACAUUUCGUGCUUUGGGAUCAUGUACGUAAAUAUUACACGGGCGAUGAUAAGUCGGUUGACCGACCGAAAUUGUUGCACGGCCGUGCGAUUGGGAUCCCCUGCACCGUGUGAUCAGUUCCUCUCUUCCUCAAAAUCUCAUGAUCGCAGCAUUGAAAAAAACACAGCAUGGUCGCCUGAUGUCAGUUGUGCUUCCCUAGCAACGACGCCAAGAAUAGUCGUGUCGACGGCACCAGGAAUCCUUCUAUUGCGGCUACGCCUUAAGGGACUUCCUAGGCAAAUAUGCAAAGGAUUUCCCCCGUGGCCUUGGAGCCUUGCGUUGGUGUUCCCUCGAAGCGGAAAGGGUGAUGUAGCACAGUGGUGGUACGUAUUUCCCUCAGUUUGAGAACCAAGGUAUCAAUCCAGUGGAGGAGUAUCACAAGAUCCUGCACAAACACAAAGAACCUGCUCCCAACGCUAUGAAGGGGUUGUCAAUCCCUUGUAGAUUGUUUGCCAAGUGAGAACUGAAAGCAACAAAGUAACAAAUCAAAGUAAAAGCGGAGGUGUAAAUGAUGGAUGUGAAUAGACCUGGGGCCGUAGUGUUUACUAGUGGCUUCUCUCAUGAAAGCAAGUAGACGGUGGGUAAACAAAUUACUGUCGAGCAAUUGAUAGAACCACGCAAAGUCGUGACGAUAUCUAUGGCAAUGAUUAUAUCUAUAGGCAUCACGUCCAAAACAAGUAGACCGAUACUUUCUGCAUCUACUACUAUUACUCCACACGUCGACCGCUAUCCAGCAUGCAUCUAGUGUAUUAAGUCCAAAAGAACAGAGUAACGCCUUAAGCAAGAUAACAUGAUGUAGACGGACAAUCUCAUAUCAACGAGAGAGCCCAUCUUGUUACCCUUGAUGGCAACUACUUAAUGUGUGCCUUGCUGCUCCUACUGUCACUGGGAAAGGUCACCACAUGGUAGAACCCAAAACCAAGCACUUCUCCCAUUGCAAGAAUCAUAGAUCUAGUUGGCCAAACAAAACCCAAGACUCGGAGAGACUUACAAGGAUAUCAAAUCAUGCAUAAAAGAAAUCAACAAAGACUCAAAUAUAUAUCAUAGAUAAUCUGAUCACAAAUCCACAAUUCAUCGGAUCUCGACAAACACACCGUCAAAGAAAAUUACAUCAGAUAGAUCUCCAUGAAGAUCAUGGAGAACUUUGUAUUGAAGAUCCAAGAGAGAGAAGAAGCCAUCUAGCUACUAACUAUGGACCCGUAGGUCUGAAGUGAACUACUCACGAGUCAUUGGAGGGGCGAUGAUGAUGAUGAAGAAGCCCUCCAACUCCAAAGUCCCCUCCGGCAGGGUGCCGGGAAGGGUCUCCAGAUGAGAUCUCACAGAAACGGAAGCUUGCGGCGGCGGAAAAGUAUUUUCGAGGCUCCCCUGAUUUUUUGCUGUAUUUUAGGGAAUAUAUAGGCCAAGGAUCUAUGUCAGGGGGCGGCCAGGGAGGCCACAAGCCCUGCCACCGCCGCCUCCCCCUGGUGGCGGAGUGGGAGCUUGUGGGCUCCCUGGAGCCCACAUGGCUUGGCCCAUAGGCCCCCUGAUCUUCUUUCGUUCGGGAAAAAAAUCAUUCCGGGUUUUUUAUCCCGUUUGGACUCCGUUCCAAAAUCAGAUCUGAAAAGAGCCAAAAACACAGAAAAAACAGGAACUGGCACUUGGCACUGAAUUAAUAAGUUACUCCCAAAAAAUAUAUAUAAGGUACAUAAAACAUCCAAAGAUGACAAGAUAACAGCGUGAAACCAUCAAAAAUUAUAGAUACGUUUGAGACGUAUCAAGCAUCCCCAAGCUUAACUCCUUCUCGUCCUCGAGUAGGGAAGUGAUAAAGAAUGAAUUUUUGAUGCUUUCAUGCUACCUAGCAUAGAUGUCCUUUGGAACUCCUCUUAUGUGACGUGAAUGUUCAGAUCCAUUAGAUUCAAAACAAUAGUUUUCUAUUGACGUGGAAACAAUAAUAAUUCAAGCAAACUAGCAAGGUAAUCAUGGUCUUUCAAAAUAACAAGGCCAAAAGAAAGUUAUCCCUACAAAAGCAUAUAGUCUGGCUAUGCUCUAUCAUCAUUGCACAACGAAUUUAAAUCAUGCACAACCCCGGUAUUGGCCAAGUAAUUGUUUCACACCUUUACUUUCUCAAACCUUUUCAACUCUCACGAAAUACAUGAGCGUGAGCCAUGGUUAUAGCACUAUAGAUGGUGUGGAAAGUGGUGGAAGUUGCAAGACAAAAAAGGAGAAGAUAGUCACAUUAACUAGGCAUAUCAAUGAGCUGUGGAGAUGCUCAUCAAUAGAUAUCAAUGUUAGUGAGUAGGGAUUGCCAUACAAAUGAUGCACUAGAGCUACGAGUAUGUGAAAGCUCUUAAAGAAAACUAGUGGGUGUGCAUCCAACUUGCUUGCUCACGAAGACCUAAGACAAUUUUGAGGAAGCCUAUCAUUGGAAUAUACAAGCCAAGUUAUAUAAUGAAAAUUUUCCACUAGCUAUAUGGUGGUGACAAAACGAGAGACUCUCAAUCAUGAAGAUCAUGGUGCUUAAUAUGCACAAGUGUGGAAAAAGUGGUAGCAUUGACCCUUCUCUCUUUUUCUCUCAUUUUUUUAUUUUUUUGGUGGGCUCUUUGGCCUUCUUUUUUUCUUUUUUUGGUGGGCUUCUUUGGCCUCUUUUAUUUCCUCACAUGGGACAAUGCUCCAUUAAUGAUGAUCAUCACACUUUCAACUCAAAACUUAGAGCAACUAUGACUCUAUAUGGAAUGUCUUCGGUAGUGUACCGUGGCAGUGAUCUAACAUGGCAUAGACAUCAAUGGAAACAUCAUGCUAGCUCUCUUACGAUCAUGCAAUGGCAAUGUAAACGUGGUGGCACAUGUCAUGGUGGUAGUUGCAUGGCAAUAUAUCUCGGAAUGACUUUGAAAAGGCCAUAGUAGGUAGGUAUGGUGGCUGUUUUGAGGGAGGCUAAUGGUGGGUUUUGUGCACCGGCGAAAGUUGCACGGCACUAAGAACAUAGUGAUGGUGGAAGGUGAAAGUGCAUCUAAACCAUGGACUCAACAUUAGUCAUGAAGAACUCAUAUACUUGUUGCAAAAGUUUUAUUAGUAAUCGAAACAAAGUAUUCAACGCAUACUCCUAGGGGAAGGGUUGGUAGGUAUAAACCAUCGCGCGAUCCCGACCGCCACGCAAAGGAUGACAAUCAAUACACUAAUCAUGCUCAGAUUUCAUCACAUAGCGGUUCACCAUACGUGCCUGCUACGGGAAUCACUAACUUCAACACAAGUAUUUCUAGAUCCACAACACCUUACUAGCAUGACUUCAACAUUACCAUAACCACAACUCAAAACUAAUUGAGAUGAAUCAAACUUCUCUAACUAUUCAAUGCACAUGAAGGUGGAAGUUUUCGUAUCCCUUUGGAUAACUACCCCUUUUGAGACUGCUUUCAAAGUAUAGAUCAACUACCAAGCCACGCACCCUUGUGCUCUAAAAGAUAUAAGUGAAGCACAUAGAGCAAAAGUAUCUAGCUCAAAAGAUAUAAAUGAAGCACAUGUGAGCUGAAUUGUCUACCAAAAGAUAUAAGUAAAGCUUGACAAAAUCACGGUGAGUGCAUGUCUCUCUCUCUAGGUGUGCAGCAAGGAUGAUUGUGACACACACAAAAAAAGACUCCUACGAUACAAGACGUUCCAAGCAAAAACACAUAAUAUGUGGUGAAUAAAAAUAUAGCCCCAAGUAAUGUUACCGAUGGAUUGAAGACGAGAGGGGGGAUGCCUUCCCGGGGCAUCCCCAAGCUUAGGCUUUUACGACAUCCUUGAAUCUCUUGGGGUGCCUUGGGCAUCCCCAAGCUUGAGCUCUUUCCACUCUUUAUCUCUUUGUUCAUAAGAACUUCAUCCAAAACUUGAAAACUUCACAACACGAAACUUAAACAGAAACUCGUGAUAACAUUAGUAUGAGAAAGCAAACCACCACUUCCUUAGGUACUGUAGAAAACUUAAAUUCUACUUGUGCUGAUUUUGGGUUACUGUAUUUUCAAUCUUCCAUGGCUAAUACCCCCCGAUACUAUCCAUAGUUUCAUCAAAAUAAGCAACCAACACAACAACAAUAGAAUCUGUUAACAGCAGACCAGUCUGUAGCAAUCUGUAUAUUUCUUAUACCUCUGGUACUCCAAAAAUUCUGAAAAAUUACGACAGUCUUAAUAAUUUGCGUAGAAAUCAGCGUAAAAAACAAUCAACUCAAAAUCUCUUACAGAAAAAAAAUGAAAAUGCUUUUGGUGAGCAGAAAGUUUCUGUCUUUUCCAGCAUGACCAAACGAUCAUCCCCAAGACUAAUCAUAACGGUUUUGCUUGGCACAAACGCAAAAAGAAACACAAAAAACACAAUCAUAACAUAAUUAUGAAAGUGUGGAAAACACAAAACAGAAAGAAAAAGGAUAGAUUCGUUGGGUUGCCUCCCAACAAGCGCUUUUGUUUAAUGCCCUUAGCUAGGCGAAAGGUGAUGGAAUCACGUAUAGUCAUCUUUGGUGCUCAAACCAUAAGUAGCCCUCAUCAUAGAUUCAUAAAGCAAUCUUAUUUUCUUUCUAGGAAAGUGCUCCAUGCCCUUCUUCAAAGGAAAUUGAAAUCUAAUAUUCCCUUCCUUCAUAUCGAUGAUAGCACCAAUAGUCCUUAGGACAGGUCUACCAAGAAUAAUGGGACAUGAAGGAUUGCAAUCUAUGUCAAGUACAAUGAAAUCCACGGGUACAUAGUUCUUAUUUGCAACAAUAACAACAUCAUCGAUCCUUCCCAUGGUUUUCUCGACAGUACAAUCCGCAAGAUGCAAAUUAAGAGACCACUCUUCAAUCUCAUGAAAACAAAGAAUAUCACAUAAAGACUUUGGAAUCGCGGAAACACUAGCACCCAAAUCACACAAAGCAUUGCAAUCAUAGUUUUUGAUCUUGAUUUUGAUAGUAGGUUCCCACUAAUCAUGAAGUUUUCUAGGUAUAGAGACUUCUAGUUCGAGCUUCUCUUGAAGAGAUUACAUCAUAGCAUCUACGAUAUGCGCGGUAAAGGCUUUGCUUUGGCUAUAAGCAUGUGGUGAGUUUGCAAUGGAUUGCAUCAAAGAAAUGCAUUCAAACAAGGAGCAAUUAUCAUAAUUGAAUUCCUUGAAAUCCAAAGUGGGAGUUCCAUUACUACCCAAAAUUUUGACUUCUUCUACUCCACUCUCCACACCUUUAUCAUCAAGAUAGGUGGACUCCGAAUCAUUGGGACGUUUUUCAACCAAAGUGGAUUCAUAUCCAGCCCCUCCAUAAAUAGGUUUGACACGCGAAAACAAAGUUUAAGAGGAGACACACCAAGCACUUUAAGAUCUUUGUGAUUUGCAUCACUAGAACGCACCCUUUUAAACCAUUCAUGCCUAGCGCGAAUUUGGGCGGUUCUUUCUUUGCUCUCAUUCAUGGAGACACGCAUAGCUUUCAAAGUUUCAUCCAAGUUGACCUUGGGAGUAGCGCAUCUAACUUUCAAAGCAUCAAUAUCACAAGACAUCCUAUCAACGCUCUUAGCCAAAUCGUCUAUUUUGAGUAGUUUUUCCUCUAUGGACGCAUUGCAAAUCUUUUGAGAGUUGAUGAACUCUUUGAUAUUACUCUCUAAAUCAUAGGAUAAUUUGUUGUGAUUUCCAUAAGUGUUGUUGUAGGAAUUGCCAUAAUUGUUAGAGGAGUCACUAGGAAAAGGCCUAGGAACAUAGUUUCCUCUAAAAGUAUUGUUGUUGCCAAAAUUGUCCCUACCAACAAAAUUCACGUCCAAACUAGCGUUGCUACUCUCAAUCAAGGAAGAUAGCGGCAUGUCAUUAGGAUCUACGGUAGCAUUUAUACUAGCAACCAAAUUCAUCAACUCGUCCAUCUUAGCACUAAGCGAGUUAAUUUUUUCUAUAGCGUGCACCUUUUUGCUAGCAGGCGACCUUUCAGUGUGCCACUGAGAGUAGUUGGUCAUGAUAUUGUCUAGGAGUUUUGUAGCGUCUCCUAACGUGAUUUCCAUGAACGUUCCACCUGAGGCGGAGUCCAAGAUAUUGCGAGAAUCAAAAUUCAAGCCAACGUAAAAGAUUUGUAUAAUCAUCCACAAACUCAAGCCAUGAGCGAGACAAUUUAGAAUCAUAAGCUUCAUCCUCUCCCAAGAUUGUGCAACGUGUUCAUGAUCAAGUUGCUUGAAAUUCAUGAUAUCGUUACGUAAGGAGAUGAUCUUAGCCGGCGGAAAAUACUUGGAUAUGUAAGCAUCUUUGCACUUAUCCCAAGAAUCGAUACUAUUUUUAGGUAAAUAAGAAAACCAAGUUUUUGCGCGAUCCCGCAAUGAGAAAGGAAAAAGUUUCAACUUAAUCAUGUCAUUAUCCACAUCUCUUUUAUUUUGCAUAUCACAAAGCUCAAUGAAGGUAUUGAGAUGGGAUACGACAUCUUCACUAGGAAGGCCAGAGAAUUGCUCUUUCAUAACAAGAUUCAACAAAGAUGCGUUGAUUUCAUACGAUUCCGCACUAGUGGCGGGAGCAAUCGGAGUACUAAUAAAAUCAUUAUUAUUAGUGCUCGAGAAGUCGCAAAGUUUGAUGUUUUCAGCCAUGAUGACUUCAACAAACAAACAAGCACACAAGCAAGCAAGAAAACCGGCAAUGGAAAACGGCAAAGGCAAAAGAAAACGGCGAAGGAGAAAGGCAAAUGAAAACGGCAAAUGUGAAGUGGGGGAGAGGAAAACGAGAGGCAACUGGCAACAAAAGUAAAUGCAAGAGAUGAGUUUGUGAGACCUACUUAGAUAGAUCUUGAUCUCUCCUCCCCGGCAAUGGCGCCAGAAAUACUUCUGAUGUCAGCUAUGCUUCCCUAGCAACGGCGCCAAGAAUAGUCGUGUCGACGGCACCAGGAAUCCUUCUGCUGCGGCUACGCCUUAAGGGACUUCCUAGGCAAAUAUGAAAAGGAUUUCCCCCGUAGCUUGGAGCCUUGCGUUGGCGUUCCCUCGAAGCAGAAAGGGUGAUGUAGCACAGUGGUGGUAAGUAUUUCCCUCAGUUUGAGAACCAAGGUAUCAAUCUAGUGGAGGGGUAUCACAAGAUCCUGCACAAACACAAAGAACCUGCUCCCAACGCUAUGAAGGGGUUGUCAAUCCCUUAUAGAUUGUUUGCCAAGUGAGAACUGAAAGCAACAAAGUAACAAAGCAAAGUAAAAGCGGAGGUGUAAACGAUGGAUGUGAAUAGACCCGGGGGCCAUAGUGUUUACUAGUGGCUUCUCUCAUGAAAGCAAGUAGACGGUGGGUGAACAAAUUACUGUCGAGCAAUUGAUAGAACCGCGCAAAGUUGUGACGAUAUCUAUGGCAAUGAUUAUAUCUAUAGGCAUCACGUCCAAAACAAGUAGACCGAUACUUUCUGCAUCUACUACUAUUACUCCACACGUCGACCGCUAUCCAGCAUGCAUCUAGUGUAUUAAGUCCAAAAGAACAAAGUAACGCCUUAAUCAAGAUGACAUGAUGUAGACGGACAAUCUCAUAUCAACGAUAGAGCCCGUCUUGUUACCCUUGACGGCAACUACUUAAUAUGUGCCUUGCUGCCCCUACUGUCACUGGGAAAGGUCACCACAUGGUAGAACCCAAAACCAAGCACUUCUCCCAUUGCAAAAAUCAUAGAUCUAGUUGGCCAAACAAAACCCAAGACUCAGAGAGACUUACAAGGAUAUCAAAUCAUGCAUAAAAGAAAUCAACAAAGACUCAAAUAUAUAUCAUAGAUAAUCUGAUCACAAAUCCACAAUUCAUCGGAUCUCGACAAACACACCAUCAAACAAGAUUACAUCGGAUAGAUCUCCAUGAAGAUCAUGGAGAACUUUGUAUUGAAGAUCCAAGAGAGAGAAGAAUCCAUCUAGCUACUAACUACGGACCCGUAGGUCUGAAGUGAACUACUCACGAGUCAUUGGAGGGGCGAUGAUGAUGAUGAAGAAUCCCUUCAACUCCAAAGACCCCUCCGGCAGGGUGCUGGGAAGGGUCUCCAGAUGAGAUCUCACGGAAACGGAAGCUUGCGGCGGCGGAAAAGUACUUUCGAGGCUCCCGUGAUUUUUUGCUGUAUUUUAGGGAAUAUAUAGGCCAAGGAUCUAUGUCAGGGGGCGGCCAGGGAGGCCACAAGCCCUGCCACCGCCGCCUCCCCCUGGUGGCGGAGUGGGAGCUUGUGGGCUCCCUGGAGCCCACCUGGCUUGGCCCAUAGGCCCCCUGAUCUUCUUCCGUUCGGGAAAAAAUCAUUCCGGGUUUUUUAUUCCGUUUGGACUCCGUUCCCAAAUCAGAUCUGAAAAGAGCCAAAAACACAGAAAAAACAGGAACUGGCACUUGGCACUGAAUUAAUAAGUUACUCCCAAAAAAGUAUACAAACACAAACACAAGGAUAUAUAGACACUAUAUAGUUCAUGCAAAUGCCAAGGAAUAAUCCAGGGAACAUGCGAGUUUUUUCUGGCCUUUUUGAUAUUUGGUUUAAAUACCUUUUAACUUGAAAUGUUCGAGAGACAAAGACUAAUGUAUAUUUUCUUACAAAACACGAUUUUAAACUUAACAAGCAAAAAAAAAUUAUGAUUUAUCUUGGGCAAAAAACGAAAAUAAAGAAGAGGUUCUUGCUUCCAAGCAAAACUCGAAUGGGCUGAGACAUUUUAACUAUAUAACGGUCCGAUUAUAAUUAAUAUUUAGCAUUUUUUGAUGUAAUUAAUAUGGCAACCAAAUAUCCCAAAGAUAUAGCAUUUUGAGUAACUGAGUUAUAAAUAAAUAUAAAACGCUUAGUAUCAAUCAUAUUAUGGGCUCAAACCUAAACCAUAUGAUACUUAUGUCAUUGAGGAUCCACAUUGUAUGGAGGAGCACAAGAAAACAAUGGAUUUGAUGUUGUUUAUAUAAAUUAAAGAUGACUUAGACAUCGAUUAUUAUAACAUGGCGACGAUCUGUCAUGGGAAUUACUUCAAACGACUGUGCGGCAGUUUUGGUUGGUAUUGAGGAUGGACCUUCUCUUGAGGUGCUAGUGGUGGUUAGCUAUUUGUGGGAUGUAGCCAACUUGCGACCCCUGUAUUUUGUACUAUAUAUGUAAAUUGGUUUUCACUGAACUAUGAAAUGCAUCCAAAUGCACGAUUCUAUGAAAUAAUAUCCUAAAAAUUAAGAUUGAUGCCGGAGUCUAAGCUAUUGUUUUACUAAAGGAAAUUAAACAUCAAAAUUAAUAUUUCCUAUUUUAAUUUUUUAAUAUCCUAAAAAGAUACAAAAUCUUAAACUCUGGUUACAACAUCCGAGGUAGAAGAGAGAACAACCCCCUCGGGUCUAUUAAAAAAGGCACUAGCCAUUCCAUCAAAAUUGGCACAAAGAAGGAGAUCAACAACACAACGUUGAGCAGCCAGAAAUAGACCUCCAUCAGUCUUCAUCAUCGAUUAUCUUGUUGGUGUCUGCGCAAAAUCAAAAUAGCAUUUGGUGAGGAGUGAACCUUGUAAGAAAUUUCAUCACACCAAAAACUAGCGAUUGAGAUUGUUGAUAUGGUGUGAGUAUUUAAAUAUUCUUUCACCAUCCCCUUAUGCUCAACUUGGAUAUAGAUAGGCUCAUAUAUAUUUCUGGAUAAAGGACAUCUUCAUGCAAUCAAUAUAUUGAGAUGAUACAAAUGCAAUGAGCGAGUGUGUGACCUAUGCAUAACGUGAUGCACACAACCAAUGCAUCCAACGCGAUCAAAAGGAACUGAACAUCUCACACAUAAAUUAAAAAGGCGAGCCAUGCCCUAUCUAAAUAUUAUAUUUCCAUGCUCGAUGUGAGAAAAUCUCCCUAAUAUUAUGAUCCUAUCAGAUAGACGUCAUCAUAAAAAGGUCCCCGGCCACGGCAUGAUAGACCAAGUAUGGAGUCAUCACUCUAAGUGGUUGUUUGGAUUUUGUAUUUUUUUAUUACUGACAUGAACAUUAUUGUAGGCAAUCCCCUCAUAUAAGGACUUGACAGAAAACAUGCAGUUUCUAGUGCAAAUUUCAUCUAUACACGGCUGGUUCAUUUGACAUUUGAGCUCCAAAUGUGUGAAAAAUUCAUUCCACGUUACGAGAUAAGGCCCUAGUUGGUCCAUACAGAAAGAAAUACCAAGAUUUGCUUGUGCCAAGACAUAUGCGGUUAUGAUAAAGUUAUGUCUAACAAUCCAAUAUGUAUCUUAUUAUUGUACCAUGAGUGGUGUCGCCCCCCCCCCCAACCAGGUAUCCUCUCAUAAUCCAAACUGCGAGUCAUCCUUAACCAAGAAAGUAACACACUUGGAGAAUAAUUUCCUGACCUUAAUCAAGCAAGGAAAAAUGUGAAUACUUGGGAUUCAAUGGAGUUGAGAAAUGGCUUUGGAAUCCUCGUACUUGUUACGGAUGAUUUUAUGCCACACUUCAUUCCGGGAUUUUAAAUUCCAUUACUGAGAAGAUCAAUGUUUUUAUCUCAAGAUCAUGGAUUCUAGGACCCCUUGACUUUCACGUCGGCAUAACACAUUCCACCUAGUUAGCUAGUAUUUCUUUGAUUAUUUAUCAUGCUGCUAGAAAAAAUUGUAUUUAAAAUAACCCGGUCUCUAUAGAACACCUUUCAGUAAGGGAAAGAAGGACAACCUGUAUAAACCAUAUUGCUAAGGACGAAAUUGAUCACAACCAAACAACCCAUAAGACAAGAGUUAUGCCGACGUGAAUGUGUUUCUAAGGCAGUUCCCUAUUCGGUGUCUGGUCUUCCAAAUGUAAAUGUGUUUCUCUAGUCUUUGUUCUACAUAUUUCCACACCGUAAUAGUUAGACACGAGUAGUGAAUCGUAAUGCCUGGGUACCAAAUAGGGAACUGUCUGAGCUGGCAUCCGAUGAUCUCAGAAUACUCUGUUCAAACUUUGUGAAAAGGAGCAAUGUGGCUAAGCCUAAUCAUCAUGGCACAAUACGUCGAUCCCUACUUUCCGAGAAAAGAACAAAUUGGGUUUUCAGACAACGACCUUCUCUCGUUUCGUUUUCGGCAGCACAAAAAUAGAUGUUUGCGCAUGGGUGAUCUUUUAAAGAUCUUUUUUAAGAAACCACAUGCAAGGGCAGGAAACAUUUCAUUAAGAAGAAGAGAGUUGGUUCAGUUUAUAAAAAAGAGAUCCAAAAAUAUAACAUUUUCAGCUAACCAUGGAAAACCGAAUAAAAACCUAAAAAGAAAGAUAAAGGAAAAAACAUUAAAAAUCACUAGAUCUUGAGCAUAGGGACAAUACAAAUGCGACAUCAAUGGACAUCGUUAGGGUCACACACCAGAAUGCCUAGGCCCAAAAAACUUAGGUGUGGCUCAAGUGCAACCAAACAGAUCACAACUCAUCGAAGAGAAACUAUCCAUAUCACAUGACUAUGAUGUCUCGGCCUCAAAGUAUCACGUGCGAACAUUAUCAUGUGAAAAACAUCCUGAAAGAUCCAGCUUCGACUUCUCGAUCACUUACGAUGAGACUGUUGACACAUGAACACGUCACGAGUACCCUCGAUGCCGAGGGUGAUGCAUCGCAACUCACGUCGAAGGAGACCCGACCGACAUCGCGAUACGCAAGACAGUCGGCGGAUGCUUUUGAGGACCCAAAACCCCACACGCCCGGGAGGGACCCCGUCAAGGAGUGAGGUGGCUAUGGGCUGCCCUAGGUCGAUUCGCUUGCCCAUAGGGCCUCGGGAUUCGCAGAUCUCAAAUUUGAGGAACAUCAAAGAACGAGAUAUAAAAUACGAUGGAGAGAUAAAACAUAGAUGAAAAAGUAGUAUAUUGAUGUUUUGAUUGUGUGUUGUUUUAAUCGGCCAUCACCUCCAAUAUAUAUAGAGCCGGCUGGACUUCCCGUACAAGCAAAGGAUUCAUCUAGGCUUUCCUUAUAAGAAAAUUACAGCAAAUCACGU